This 86555-nucleotide long non-coding RNA is filed under the name Prunus persica (peach). RNAcentral describes it as "long non-coding RNA (PPER_LNC001936)". Lineage: Eukaryota; Viridiplantae; Streptophyta; Magnoliopsida; Rosales; Rosaceae. The record is from RNAcentral.
GUAGGAACAGACCAAACAUGUUCAUACGUGGCAUUGCUCAAGUCAUCAUCAUUCGGGACAGAGAAUAAGCCUUCAAAUGUCUGCUGAGUCAAUGAACCUUUCUAGAUAUCUCAAGUGUAAUGGAAAUUGAUGAGUUACAAAGGAUUUGUAAACAUUUUCUACUGGAGGCUAGAAAUGCUUCAAAUAAAUGACUCUGUUGCAAUUAUUUUGUAGGAUCAAAGACUCUGCAAAGAGGUAAGAAAGUCAUCAUCAAGUAACUUCGCUCUUCAUACUUUUUAUUAGGGGUGGGCAUUGGAACCGCAAAACCGCAAAACCGAACCAACCCAAUCCGAAAAAAACCGAAAAAAACCGUGUUGACCGAAAAAGUCAAAAACCGAGACAAAUCCAAACCGAACCGGUUCAGACCGGUUCCGGUUCCGAUUUUCCACCUUAAGGAACCGGUCCAAUCCGAACCGGUCCAAUAUAAUUAAUUUUUAUAUUAUAUUUAUAUUUAUAUUUAAAAUAUCAAAUUUUGUAGGCCCAAACCCAACUAUUUCAUUAUACCAACAAAAAGCCCAAAUCUCCCAAGUCCAUUGCCCAAGUCCAACAAGCCAUAUUUUAAUAUCCUAAUCACAUCAAAUCUCACUUCACUCUCUCUCUCUGACGCACUCUCUCUUUUCCUCUCAGAUUUUUUUUACUCUCUUUUUCUUUCUUUCUUCUCUCUUCCGCCUCUUUUCCUCUAGGUUCUUUAACUUCUUUUUACUUCUUUCUUUCUUCACUCUUCUGCCUCUUUUCCUCAGUUUUUUCUUCUUCUUUCUCUCUUAUUCUUUCUCCUCUCAAUUCGUCUCCAUUUUUUUUCCCUCUCUUUCUCUGAUUUUCUGUUACUCUGAUUUUUUUCUUCUUGGUUUUAUGUUUCUCUCUCUCCCUCUAUAUCUCUUUCUUUGCAACUCUGUUUUUCAAUUUCUCCUUUUUUUUCUCUCUUCAUUUUUUGUUUCUCUGUACAUAUAUGUGUUCAUCUUGUAGAUCUGGGUGAAAUUCUUGUAGAUCUAGGUGAAGUUCUUGGAGAUCUGCGUUAAGUUCUUGUAGAUCUAGGUAAAGAGCCAAUUCAAAGCAGGUCAGCGUCUCUUAUCUCCCCAAUCCCUUGUGAAGAUAUGUAUUUUUUUUGUUGUCAACAAUCCAUUUUGGUGUUUUUAUAUGGUAUUGAUAUUUUCUAUGAUUUUGGGCUGAUUUGAGGUCUGAUUCUUUUUUUUUCUUUCAAUUUUUUCCUGUUGUGUUUUGAUAGACAUGUUCUCUAUUCCUGAUAUCAUUCCUCAGUGGCAAAAUCUUUGAGCGUUGUUGUAAAUUUUAGACGGGAAAGAAGCUCAUUCAUAAUUCAAAAAAAGAAAAUAAAGUUACAACAACUGACAAUUUGUUGCUCUUUGAAAUAGGUACUGAAGUAGCAUGGAUAAAAAGAAAGACUGAAGAUGUUGCAGAAGAUUGAAUAUGUUCUAUUUCUGUAAUUUGUUUGUAAUUAAAUUUGUUUAUUUUGUUUUGUUUUUAGGUUGUAAGUUUUAUUUUAAUGUUUGAUAUUUGUUGUUUUGUCAAAAAAUUGUAUUAAUGCUUGAUGGAUUCAUUCAAUUUGCAGUGCGUGGAUGUGAAUUGGGCCAAUCGGUAAUAAUUAGGCCCAAAAGGUUUUAAAUAUCAAUUGGGCUGAAACUUACAAAAAAAUUUAAGAACAAAAAAAAAAUCAAUUAAGCUGUGUGUCGGCCCAAACCGUAAAAACCGGAACCGAACCGGAUUCAAAUGGGUUCGGGUUGGUCCGGUUUUCUCAAGCAUUUUAGUAAAAAUCCGAACCGGACCGGACCGGUGAACAGUACCGGUUCCGGUUUUAAAUUGAUGCAAAAACCGGUCCAAACCGGACCGUGCCCACCCCUAUUUUUUAUUUUUAUUUUUAAAUAUCAGUAAUAACUGGGAAAGCUUGCAUCUCCUUAAAUUGCUCAUUCUUACAUCUUUUAUAGUUUGUUGAUCUUGGGCAAGUGGAGAGAGAGGCGUCAAGUGAUACGCAACAACCAUUUUCUGUGAGCUGAUUUGAUAAAGAGAAAUGGUAUGCUUUCUUGUCUUAAGCGGUGUGUUCUGCAAUUAUUUGAAACAAAGGAUGCCGCACUUCAAGUUCGAGAAAAUCAGGUAUUUUAGUAUUUUAUUCUUGAGAAAUUUGAUUUAUGUAGAAACUUGAACAUGUAAAUGAGAGAAAAAAAAAUAAAUAUAUAUAUAUAUUAUAUAUUGUAUAUGCUGUUAAUGAGUUAAUAUGGUGCUUGCUCCUAGUUGGAAAUUUAUGUAGUCAUCUACCUAUGAUCAAAUAAAGAUGAAAAAUAAAAUAAAAUUGAGAGCAUCUUCCUCUCCCCUGCUUUGCUCAUCCCUUGUUCUUCCACUUCAGCCCCACUAUUACACCAUUUUUUUCAGCCACAAUUAUAAUAGCUCCAUGAGCAUUAAGUCCCUUUCAAAUUCUGCUGACAUUCAAAAUUGGAAUCUGCUGGUGAUAUAUGAUAGCGUUAACAUAUUGUACCAUUUUGGCCAGUGUACGCAAUAUUAUUGCAUCCAACUUUGCAUAUUAACAUCAGUGGCCACAGUUACACGAUUUGAGUGCACAGAAAGGUUUCAAAAGUUGUCCCACAGAGAACAGUCGUUCAAAGUGAGAGAGUUUUGAAAGCUUAAUUACAAGUUCAUGUUGUUUACAACCUCAAAAAGCUUUCAUACUUGCUUACAAACCUGUAUUUCCAAGUUCUGCAAACCUUGGAAUAUCACUUCAUCCAAAUCCCCUUCCAAAGCAGGAAAAAAUGGCAGCAGCUUUGAUUGGAGAGGCUCUCAUCUCUGCUUCUAUCGAGGUGUUGUGUGACAGAGUUACUUCAGCCGAGUUCAUAGACUUAUUUCAGCAGAAGAAACUUGAUGAAACACUCCUCAUGAACCUGAAGACGACACUGUUGAUUUUGUUUGCGGCGCUCAAUGAUGCAGAGGAGAAGCAAAUUGUGAACCCUGCUGUGAUAGAGUGGCUUAACAGCUCAAGCAUGCUGUCUUUGAUGCAGAGGACUUACUUGAUGAGAUUGACACUGAAGCUUUGCGAUGCAAGCUGGAAGGUGAGGAUCAAACCCACAAUAAUUAACCAACAAGGAUCUUUUUGAUUGUUUGAAAGGAGGGUCUUUGAUGAUUUGAAAGGAGAGGGUUGCUUCAUUUCUGUUGGAUGCUUAAUUAAAUCUUAUCUGGACUUGAACAAGGAUUAGGUUAGCUGUAUAAUUCGUGGUAAACACCUUUUUCUAAGGUUCAUUUAGACUCCUAUUACGAUUAAUUUGUUGUUUCUAAUUUGGACUUGUAGGAACAGACCAAAUAUGUUCACACGUGGCAUCGUUCAAGUCAUCAUCAUUUCAGACAAAAUCAGCCUUCAAGUGUCUGCUGACUCAAUGAACCUUUCUAGAUAUAUCAAGUGCAAUGGAAAUUCAAGAGUUACAUAGAGAUUUGUAAACAUUUUGAAGAUUGCAACACCUGCAAGUGAGAUAGGUGGUGACGAAAUCAGAGCUGAUCUUGAAGCCUCUGAUGCCCCUGUCGUUGCAAGUUGCACCUGAGAACAUGGUUUUUUUUUGGGUAAAAAACCAGCAACAUGUUCGGGGCUGGCAAUUCAAUCCCUGAUGAACUUGAGAAGCAAAGCUCCAGUAAGGAAAUUGGUCGAGGUCACGACAGGGAUAAUUGAUGGUGAAAUGGAUGCUAUUUCUUAUUGCAGCCUGUUCUCAAAGUUCUUGUUGGCAAAAGCAAGAGAUGGAGUAUUUUGAUUGGGAGGAGAGAUAAUGACAUGUGUUGACAAUUCUAGAACAGCCCAUCUGAGUUCUUUUGUCAGGCUGCAUCAUUUAAUCCCAGCAAAAAUCCAGUUUUUGCUAAACAAUCAAAUUGUACACAUUUUUUCUUUUCGAGGAAUUUAACAUUACACAUUUUUUCAUUUUUUCAUCAAACAGUUUUCUAAUGCAUUUGUUGUCCCAAGUUACAAUGAGGAAUUUGGAUUGAGUUUCUUGUGUUAAUAACAUUAUACUUUCAUGGAAUGGUUUAUCUUCUUUUUCUGGACAAAAAUAUUUAGAUUAAUUUCUUGGAAUAAUUUUUUAAUAAUUUUUUAAUUGCAGUAGCGAAAAAAGGAAAAUUGUAUUUUUCAAAACCAAUCUUAAGUCCAGUUUCCUCUUCUUGGUCGUCACACUUGGAAAUUGCUAACCAUAUAUAACUUGGGGUAACAAUCUUAGUCCGAAUGUGUACGAUCUUAGUCCGAUCAAUGGCUACGCGUAUUGGCUCGGCCUUGGGGUCUACCAUUCCAGUGUACAAGCUUCCUGGGUCUUGGGGCAAUUCCUUCAAAUUGUACACAUGUUUUCUUUGAGAAGCAAGGCUCUAGUAAGGAAAUUGGUUAUGUAACAAAUUUUGGUCCCUUUGGAUGGAAUGAUUUACAAUGAGGAAUUUUAUUAUUAUUAUUUUGUUUUUGUUGUUAGUGUAAUGAAAAUGAUCUAGGUUCAUACACUGGGUAUAGCUCUAAUUUGGCCAAUUUCAUUAUUUUAGUUUCUUCAUAUUUUCAAUUAUUAUAAUUUGGUGCGUUGUUUUUUAAAAACAUUCAUGAGAAUCUCCAUUUUUUAGGUGUUUAAGUUAUUCAUCCACAACGGUUUUAUAAUACCGUCAUCUUUUCAAACACAACGAUGAUUUUUUAAUCUAUCGUCGUUGUUUUCUGAUCGUCUUUUUCACUUUUUGUAGUAGUGUCAAUAAGUAAGAUGAAAUAAUACAUUCACAAUCUGUUUAAAUUUUAAAUUAAAAAAAACACAAGAAAAUUUUAAAUAAGUAAGUAAUUUUAAAUAUAUAUUUCCAUUGUUUUGGUUUUCUUUUCAUAUUAGUUUUCUACUAGCUGCUAAUUUCAUUUAAAUUGUUUUUCUUACUUCAUUUAACUUUUAAGCAUGCAGAUGCAAUCAUGACUUCUUCUUUUUUUCAAUAGACUGAUUCUCUUCCCACAUAUAUAAUGCUCUCUAAGUAUUCGUAAUAUGAGUAGGAAUUUAUUUUCAUUUCACAAGAAUUGUCCAUCAAAUUCUGAUAGGUUUGUCGAUAGCACAAGCAUGCACAUAUAGACACUACAAGAACUUUGUUUCUUCAUUUUGUUUCCUAAAGAUUUGUUGGCUUCGUGCAGAUGAAUAACAAGUCUCUCUGUCCUCUAUUUCUUCUUUUUCUUUUUUAACAAUUCAUAUUCUACUUUCUGUUUUCACCCAGUAAAAAUUGAUUUUAGACAUGGGCUUCUAAAUUAUGUGCGGAUAAUGGUUGCAUUUAUAGAAUAUCCAUGGGCUUCUAGUCACCGUGGUUGUUGAUUCAGCAUGUCAUAUUACUCUUGGACUAGCUGUUGACACUACUACAUUUUACACUUUGCGCGACGAAGAACAAAACGUCGCGCAAAGUCGCAUUUAGUCGCCCCAAUUUCAGCGCGACAAAAACGUCGUCGCGCAUAUUCCGUCGCGCGAAGAUCGUGAAGAAAGCCUUUGCACGACGAGGUACAACCCUUCGUCGCGCAAAAGUGUGCGACGGGUAAACCAUCGUUGCACCAACGGUGUGGAGACGAAACAACCCUUCGUCGCAAAAAUAUUUGCGCGACGAUAAAUUAUGCGGCGCACGUAUAUUUGCGAGACGACGGGAAUUGCGCGACAAAACAUUAUUCGUCGCGCAAAAUAUGUAUGGGAGACGUAUAUGUUCGUCGCAGAACAAUUCGCGCGAUGAGAAAGUUUUCGUCGCACAUAUAAUUGCGCGACGAAAAAUUAUGUCGUCGGCCAAAUAUUUUGCGCGACGAAACAUUUCGUCGCGCAAAACGUGUUAUGUGUUCGUCGCGCAUGAAUUAAAAGUGAUAAAAAAAUAUUUGAUUUUUUUUUGUUACAUGUUGGUUUGCGCGACGAAAGAUUUUCCGUCGCGCAAAAAUAAUAUUACAAUUUUUUUUUUAUUUAUAUUUUUUAUUUGAUAUAAAAUUGGUUUCUUUUUAUUGAUUAAACAAUGAAAUUGCAAUAAAAAUAAAUUAGAAUAAAAUUUUGUUAUAAAAUAAAAUAAAAUAAAUGUAUUACAAAUAAAAUAAAUACACUAAUCAAAUAAUGAAUCAAAAUCAACCGAGUCGUCGCCAGUAUGCGGCUCGGAGGGCGGGGCGUUCACCGGGGCAGUGGUCUGGUGGGGAUGCCCGGGAUGGACGGGCUCAGAGGUCGGCGCAUCAAAAUGCGGGACUGGAAUGCCGGACUGUGCGAGGGACUGCAGAAUGACCGACAUCUGGCUCUGAAGAGUGGCCACCUGUGCUGUCAAAGCAGUGACCUGACUGUUUGACUGCGCCGAUGAACGAGGUCGAGGUUCCCUCCGCCGGGCAUUCCCCAUCCCUCGACAAUAUGUCCCCGGCCUCCUCCCGAGAGUCUGAUCCAACGUCUCCGUCAAUAUCUGAAAUCCAGCAUCCUGUGGAGGAGCCACAGACUCGAUCGGAGUCUCGGGAGGAAGCUGGGAGGCGGACUCCUGAAGAACAAGCUGGCUCCUCUCCACCAUCGUCGUCUGUUGAACAUAACAUAAAAUAUAAAUUAAAACAUGCAUAUAAAUUGAAUGCGUAACAUAAGAAUUAAAAUUAAAUAAUACUUACAUGAAGGGACUCGGCCAACUCAUUCCCGGGUCGAACAUAAACGUCACCAAAGACGUCGAUCUCUGGGAACUUGGACCCCUCCUAAAUUGAACAAGAGAAGAAAAAUAUUAGUAUGAAAAAAAUAAAUUAAUAAAAAUGACAUUAAAAAUGAAAUAAAAAUUUUGUGAUUAUUACCCGACGCCGUGCAUCCAUCCUAUAAGAAAAGGGUCUGGAGCCGGAAUGGUGGAGAAGGGUCUUCUUCUUCCUAUUACCCUUAUUCACUUGGGCUUUAUUCUGUUAUACAAAAAAUGAAACGUAUUAGUUAAAAUAUAAAAAAUUAAAUAAUAAUGAAAUAAAAAAAUAAAAUAAACAUUAAUAAGUAAUAAGUAAUAAUUAAACAAAUAUAAUUAAAAAAAUACCGCAAAUUCGGGCGCUUGAAAAUGAGCGCAGAGCCACUCCCAACUAUCCUCCCGCCCCUCAAGCUCCUUCGGGCAACCCUCCUGAAGAGCGACUUGCGGAUCAUCAUAGGCCUGAAAAUGGUGGUGCAAGUCGCUCUUCCACUGCUUGUACCUCUCAGCGAAGAGUCGGUUGACGUACGUCAACGACUCUUCGUCGAGAUCCUCCAAGUUAUAGUUCGUCUGCAAUCAAUUAAUUAGAUACGUUAAGUAAUAGAAAUAUACACAAUUUUAAAGAAAAAUAAUGAAAAUGUAAGGUACAUACCGACAACUGGCCGUGAAUCUCCGCCUGGAUCUCGUCAGGCAUGACCCUCCAAGACUUCCAUUGCAUCGGGCAAUGGGUCCGCACGACGUGGCCAAUGUCGUGGGCCAAGGAGCUAUGCAACUUCGCCGUCGGUGCAGCACGAUGGCGCUCGUCGUAUCCGAUGCUGAUACGACUGUUGGUCACCCGGGUGACCUUCGCCGUCUUCAGCUGACGACACGGUCCUCGGGUGUUCCUCUUCGCUGCAAAGAAAUAAGGUAUUAAUGUUAAAUAAAAAAACAUUGUCAAAUUUCAAUAUAAAAUUAACAAUACAAAAGUGUAGUUAUACCUGGCUGUGAUCCCGAGGCACCAGUACCGUCGGUCGAUGUCGUGUCGAUGGUGUCGGUGGGCCGGUGCCGCCGCCUAGCACUAGCUGGUUGCGCCACGGAUGACGCAGAUGACACAGGCGCCUGGGGCGCCCCGGGACCAACCACCACGUGGUCCAACAAAGCAGGAGCAGUGGCAGCAGAUGCCGACUGAGCCAGGGGAUCCGAACUCGGUGCAGUCGUCAUCGACCUACCACGUCUAAUCAAGUCUGACAUCUGCACAUAUAAUUUCAUUCAGAAUGUAAACUAAUUAAUUAAAAGCAUAGCCUGACCUAGGGUUUGGAAUUUCGGAGUAUCCGGGACUCCGAUCAACGAUCGGUCGAAUCCUAAACGAUCCUAGAAACACAAAGGUACAACUACGCGAGUUUCAGUUCGAUCCAACGGUCCGAACAUAUCAAACCUGGAAAUCGCACAAUAGGCGAAAUUCGAUCAAGACUCAAACGGUAACCAAAUUCAAAUCCGAGCAAACCUACGCGCUCGUGACAAACAGGGGAUCGCUCUGGGACACAAUGCCCCACUGCCACAGCAUCCCACGCGCCGGCAGCGCGUGGGUGUCCAAAGCGAUAACAUUCGCCGGAAAAUUCUAAAAACUAACGGCCAAGGUUCCUACCCUAGGUUGAAAACAAUAUUUGGCGCCACUUUUGUUCUCGGACCUACCCCGAAAAAUGGCCGGAAGUGGCCGGAUUUGAAAUUGCCAAACCGGCCAAAACCUAGGGUUUUAAUUCCUAUUUCCUAUACCCAUCAGCUAGAGCACAAAAAAUAGUCGAGAAAUCAUACCUCAGGCGUCGGAAAUGGUGGCCGGAGGAGAGAGAAAACGGCCGGCGAGGAAUCGGUGAAAAACCGACGAUGUGCGACGGCAGGCUCGACGGCGAAGGCAGGGGAGGCUAUGGCAGGAGCGGCGGUGGCUGAGGUGACGGCGGAGAGAGAGGGCUGAGGUGACGGCGGAGAGAGAGGCAAACGGAGGAAAAAACCAGAAAUGGGGAAGAAGGAGGCAUCGCGACGUUUCUGCAAAUUUUUACGACUUUGCGCGACGAAUCACAUCAUUCGUCGCGCAAAAUGCUAUUAAUGAAUCUUGCGCGACGCUAUAUCCGUCGCGCAAGAUCUGUCAGAACGCCAAAUUCUGAAAGUGGAUUAGGGUCUGUAAGUUUUGCGCGACGAAAUAGACAUACUUCGUCGCGCAAAAGGCUGUCUUUCCGCCAAAAUUUUGGGAUUUAGGGUUUAGCGGGAGGCUGAAACUGAAGGGUUUGCGCUUUUGCGCGACGAAGACGGUAAACGUCGCGCAAUGGUAACCUUGCGCGACGGAACGUAUUAUAUUCGUCGCGCAAAAGGCUAUCUUUCCGCCCAAAUUUUGGGAUUCAGGGUUUAGCGGGAGGCUGAAGGGUUUGCGCUUUUGCGCGACGAAGACACUAAACGUCGCACAAAAGGCUGUCUGCUGAAAUGAAUGGUUUCUGCUUUUGCGCGACGAAGACAAUAAACGUCGCGCAAAACGUUGUCGUUCCGCCAACAAUUUGGGGUUUAGGGUUUAGUGUGAAAACUGGCGCCCAGAUUGCGCGACGAAGAGUACAUAUUUCCUUCGCGCAAUCUAUUUCACUUUCACUUUGCGCGACGGAUAUGUUGGUUCGUCGCGCAAUCUUCAAGAUUUUCAUUGAAAUUUUCACUAAGUGUUCAAAGGGGAUGGAGGUGUGAAAACUGGCGCCCAGAUUGCGCGACGAAGAGUACAUAUUUCCGUCGCACAAUCUAAUUCACUUUCACUUUGCGCGACGGUUAAAUUGUUCGUCGCGCAAAAUGUAGACCCUAAACCCCCUUGUAAACCCUAAACCCUGAACCCUAAGCCAUAAACCCUAAACCCUAAAAUAGUUUCAAUGAUCCAACCGGCAAACUUAUUGUUUGAAACUUGGAGAUCAUAUACGCCAAAAAUCAAGAAGACCAAACAUUCAGAUAUCAGGGAACGGGACUAAAUAUUUCGACGGUUAUAAAUGAAAAGUCAUGAUUUAACGGUUAUUGUAACUCCGAUUUUGAUCAAUUUUGACAGCAGCAUUUGUUGACCCUAUAUGAAUACAAUGACUGAAUUUGAUCUUCAAUUUCAGAUUUUUACACUAGGGGAUACCACAUAAACGUGAAGUUACAUUUGCACAAAUGUAUAAACAAAUUUUAGGGUUUUUGGUGAAUAUAUGAUUUUGAUAGCACAUGCAGUCUACGAAACAAGUUUCAGUCAUCCAGCCGUCAAACUUGUUUUUUUAGACUUCGAGAUCAUAGACAGCAAAAAUCGGACAAAAAAAACAUUCAGAGAUUAAGCAACGGGGUAAAACUUUUCGACGGUUCUAAAUAAAAAGUGAUGAUUGAACGGUUAAUUUAACUCCGAUGUUGAUGAUUUUUUGCAGCUACAGUCCUACACUCCAUAUGAAUACAAUGAACUACUUCGAUCGCCAAUUUUAAAUAUAUAUGUGUGUAUAUAUUAUACUAUAACGUUACCUAAUAUAUAUUUGCGCGACGAAAGUUUGCUUAUCGUCGCGCAAAAAUGCCAUACGCGACGCAUGUAUAUAUGCGUCGCGGAAACUAUGCGCGACCAGUUGUAUUCGUUGCGCAAACAUUACGCGACGCUUAUGUAUGCGUCGCGUAUGGUAUGUUUGCGCGACGAUAUGGAGCCCUUCGUCGCGCAUGGAUUUGGCGCCAUAAAUCCUCAUUGAUUUCAAAUUGUGUAUGCUUUGUAUUUUUUAGAAAGGUUUUGUAUUCAUCAUUUUUUAUGCUUUGUAUUUUGUGGAAAGGCUUUGAAAUAUUCAUUUCUUUUGUUAUUUUUAUUGAAGCUUUAACUUGUUCUGUUCCGCAGAAAAUUCCAAUGAAGUUUGUGAUGAAAUAUGGAGAAUGAAUACACAACUACAUAUGGACAACUACACAUAUUCAAAGAUUUGUAUUACACAAAAUUAAUACACUAACAUAAUAAAUUUACAAAUAAAUUCAUUAUUCAUCAUCUGAACUAUAAUAACUUUCGUUAUCGUCGCUAGCUUUAACUUGUUCUGUUCCGCAGAAAAUUCCAAUGAAGUUUGUGAUGAAAUCUGGAGAAUGAAUACACAACUACAUAUAGACAACUACACAUAUUCAAAGAUUUGUAUUACACAAAAUUAAUACACUACAUAAUAAAUUACAAAUAAAUUCAUUAUUCAUCAUCUGAACUAUAAUAACUUUCGUAUCGUCGCUAUCAUCACUCUCGGUCUCCCAAUCUUCUUCCUCCUCCUCCUCUAUAACUGCAUCAUCGGCGUUGCUAGGGCCCACUGCAACAUCGUAUCGGGGAAGAUCACCGAGGUCAAUUGUAAUUGACUGAAUCGGUAUUUCGACUGAAGACACUCCUUCUAUUUGAAACGGUUCUUGUAUAACAUUUGUAUCUCGAAGUGUUUCCGCAUCAUUUUCCAUUGAAGAUUCUAAACGAUGGUCAGCCACAUUGUCGACGUCGUUGUCACUUGGGUCUAGUUCUGGUAUAUUAUACACGUUCCUAUGAUCCAUCUUCUGCACAACUUUCCACCCGUUCCCGGCUUUAGGGUCAUCUAGAUACACAAUUUGGGACGCCAUGUUUGCCAAAAUGUACGGGUCGUCAUCAUACCAAGUUCUGUUAAUAUUCACAGACAGUACUCCAUGGUCGAUUUUAACACUUCCCGCCCUAUUUGGGUUGGUAUCGAACCAUCGACACUUAAACAUGAUGACUUGGUAUCGAUCUUUGUAAAGCAAUUGCACGACAGUUGUCAGUUUGCCAUAGAAAUCAAUGUCUGUACUUUCGCCUCCACCUGGGACAUGAACACCGCUAUUUUGCGUACACAACUUGUCAUCUCGUGCGGCCCCUAAAAAUUUGACGCCGUUAACAUUACAACCCGAGAACAAUUCAGCGCGAAUUGGGCCGAACGCCAAGUUAUAUAACUCAUCACUGUAAGUGGGGGAAUUCGAUGAUUUCAAUUUAUUCACCUAAUAGUAUACAAAACCAUUUACAUGUUAGUCUGACAAAAUUAAAUACUAAAAUUUAUAUUUGUCAAUUACAAAACACUUAUAACUUACAGAAUCCAAAAACCAUUGUGGAAAUAAUUCACGGUGUUUCCGGGCAACCAAAUGUGAUGGAUGUUCUCGCUUCAUCAUCUGUUCAUGCUCAUCUAAGUAGGCCAUUAUCUCAUCACAAUUGUUCAGUACGAACCAAUGCGCUACCUCCAUGUCAUUUCUAGAAAACGACUCUCCUCGUCCAGGAUCUCCAAAUGGUCGUGCGCUUUGGGCAAAAACAGAAAGUUUUUCAUUUCUCAUACCUCCGUCAUUAUUGCGGUGAGGACGAUUGAAAACCGUCUCCACAUCUUUUAAAUACAUUCCACAGAAAGUAAGCGACUCAUAUUGAACCCAAGCCUCUAUAAUUGAUCCUUCGGGCUUUGCCCUGUUGCGUACACUUUUUUUCAGCUCUCCGAGAAGCCUGCCAAAAUAAAACGAUAUGAUACAAAUUAGCAAAGUGUCGAUAAUGAUGCAUACACAAAUGAUAAAGAUUAUAUACCUUUCUAUUGGAUACAUCCAGCGAUAGUUGACAGGACCAGCAAGCAAUGCCUCUUCUGGCAAGUGAACCAUCACGUGCAUCAUACUUAUAAAGAAAGCUGGAGGAAAUAUCAUCUCAAACUUGCAUAGGACUUGGACAAUGUCAUGGCGCAACUGAAACAUGUCUGUCCUUCGCAAUGUUUUUGCCGUCAGUUGGGAAAAAAAUCUGGAUAACAACAUGAUUGGCUUCACCACAUCUUCCGGCAGUAAGUGUCGAAUACCCACAGGAAGUAGGCGUUGCAUGAACACAUGGCAGUCAUGGCUCUUAAGUCCAGUAAAUUUACCCCCAUCGACAUUCACGCAACGUGCGAUAUUAGAAGCAUACCCAUCGGGAAAUUUGACAGACGAUACAAACUUUAGAAACUCCUUUUUGUCAUUCGGUUUCAUAGAAAAGAAUGCAAGAUCCCUUCUAGCUUUAUCACUGUCCCUAUUCAUCCAUAAACCCCUUCGUAUGCCCAUUCUUUCCAAAUCAAGACGAGCUUUGAUCGUGUCCUUCGUCUUCCCCUCGAUAUCUAGAAUCGUGCCCACCAAUGUGUCGAAAACAUUUUUCUCAACAUGCAUCACAUCUAGAUUGUGCCUCAAUUUCAGUUUCGACCAAUAUGGGCGCUCAAAAAACAUAGACUUGUGCGUCCAGUUCAAAUGUGUAGAAGGUCGGGUCCGACUAACUGUUUUCCCGAACGGAGCAAAAUCCAAACGGUUCAGCUGUUCCAAGAUCUCAUCACCGGACCAUUCUCUAGGUCUGAGGCGACGCUCUGUGUUCCCGUCGAACUCUUUAUCUUUUUCUCGCCACUCGUGGUCCCAUGGCAACCAUCUCCGAUGACCAAGGUAACAAACUUUUCCCGCGUGCCAACCAGAAGUUACAUCUUCCUUGCAUACAGGACAUGCCAUAUAACCCUUUGUGCUCCACCCAGAAACCAUUGCAUAUGCUGGAAAAUCAUUCACAGUCCACAUAACUGCUGCUCGCAAAGUGAACAUCCUCCCAGUUGAUUUAUCGUACGUGCGAACACCGUUUGUCCAUAAAUCCUUCAGCUCAUCAACCAGAGGCCUUAAGUACACAUCAAUUGACCUGCCAGGAUCCUCAGUUAUCAAAACAGUCAUCAUCAUGUAUUCUUUUUUCAUGCAUUUCCAAGGCGGCAAAUUAUAUGGGAAUGCGAAAAUCGGCCAAGUGCUGUGGUGUUGGUUUAGAACCCCAUACGGAUUGAAUCCGUCAGUGGCAAGUCCCAAUCUAACAUUUCGGGGAUCAGCAGCAAAUUCGGGGAACGUUCGAUCGAACUCUUUCCAUGCCUCCCCAUCUGCAGGAUGCCGCAUCACAUCAUCGUCUACCCGUUUUUCCUUAUGCCAUCUCAUGUCUGUGGCAGUAUGCGUUGACAUAUACAAUCGCUGCAACCUAGGUUUAAGGGGCAGAUAACGCAUGACUUUUUGUGGUAUCUUAGUCGUUCUAUUCUGGGAUGUCAGUUUGAACCUCGACUCAUUGCAUAUAGGGCAUGUAUCCAACGUUUCAUGCUCUUUGUAGAAUAACAUGCAAUUGUUUUUGCAAGCGUGGAUUUUUUCAUAACCCAAUCCAAGACCGUGCAACACCUUCUGUGCAUGUUUAUGGUCUUUCGGCAAACAAUUGUCCGUCGGAAGCAUUCUCUUGAAAACCCCCAAAAAGUAAUCAAAACACAAGUUCGACAUACGAUACUUUAUUUUUCCGUGCAUUAGCUCCACAAUGGCAGUGAGAACGGAAAACCUCUCGCACCCCGGGUAUAACUCUUGGUUGGCAUUUUUUAACAGUUUUUCAUACUGUUCAAACUCCGCACUGUCUAUUGGUGUAGGCACGUCAUCUUCCCCUUCCUGAUUGAUGUUGGUCGAUGCGAAUGGAAAAGCAUCCUGUAUAAUACCCAUGACUUGAUCAUUAGGAUCCACAAUAGGUUCAACAUUGUCCACUCUCGGGGCAUUUGAAGACGAAGCAUGGUCUACUUGUUCGCCGUGAAGGUUCCAAAUGCUAUAUGUUUCAAUCAUUCCAUUCCUUACUAAAUGAAAUCCAACAUUUUCAAUUGUCUCCCACAACGUGUUGUUACACCUCCUACAAGGACAACGGAUUCUAGUUGCACCCGGGUUGUGUCUACGUGCAAACUCAAUAAAAUCCUCGAUUCCAUCCAAGUAUUCGUCUGCGCAUCUAUUCGGGUUCUGUAUCCACCUUCUGCUCAUAAUUCCUGAAACCACAAUCACGACACAACAAUCACAACAACUUCAUACGAAGUUAUAAUGUCACCUUAUGCCUCCGGUAAGGGCCCUAUCCCAUUCGGGAAUGCAUAGUCCUGUCACGUAACCUACGGCUACAUGAGAUUAGAUUUCGACGUGGAUUAAUUUCAGCAGCAUCUCGACACAGUUCUUGAAGUGGGCAUAGGUAUAAAUACCUACGUACCACCCGAAGAACGUACCGAGAUGACACCGAAAUCUCCACAAUCGAAACCUAAUCCUGUAGCCGAAGAUUAUGUGACAACACUAUGCAUUACCAAACUGUCCAAAUAAUGGGACAAUUCAAGAAUUAAUUGGACCGCAGUCAUGCAUUACGCAUCCAUGCACGAAAUUCAACUAAUCUCGAACGGGAAACUACGUGUUACUAAACAUAAAAAUAAAAGUACGAAGUUAAUUUCAAUUAACUUCGUACAUCACAACACAUUGUGCUAUGUCACGCACAAUUUCACAACAUUAUACACAUAUAACUUCACAAAAAAAUUACAAACAUAACAAACAAACUUUUACAAUAACAUACCUUCUCAAUCGUUCUCCACCAAUCACAAAUAUCCCUAACGAUAACAAAAUUAAUAGCGUUACUACGAAUUUACAUUAAUACAUUUAAACUAACGACAAAAAAUACAUACCCAAUGAACGUACUGAAUUCACAGUAGAGCAACGGCAGAGAGAGUGAGAGAGAGGUAGAAUGCAGUGGGAGAGUGAGAGAGAGGCAGAAUGCAGAAACUGCAUUCUGCCUCUGCAAUGGAACUGGCUAAAAUGAAGAAGAAGGACUUUGCGCGACUAACAAUCCAAUCCGUCGCGCAAAAUGCCGUCGCGAAAACCCACUUUUCCGUCGCACAAAAAAACAUUUCCGUCGCGCAAUUACCUGCCGACAUCAGGUUUUUUGCGCGACGAAUACAAUUAUCCGUCGCACAAACAUCCGUCGCGCAAAUAACAUUAUUCGUCGCGCAAGGUUUAUAUUACGUCGCGCAAAUAACACUUAUUUCGUCGCGCAAGAAAUUACACUUUACGCGACGAAGGUAAUUCCGUCGCGCAAAAAAGUUUUUUCCACCCUGCAUUUUGCCGCCAAAAUUAAGUAACCCUCGUUUUCUUACGCGACGGUACAUAUUUCCGUCGCGCUAAGGCGUCUUUUGCGACGAAAAUGUUCGUCGCGCAAGAUUCUGGCGCCAAAAACAUAAACUGGGGAUUUUUCCCCGACCUUUGCUCGACGAAAUUAGUUUUGGUCGCGCAUAGAUUGUUUGCGCAACGAAGAUUGUUCGUCGCGCUAGUGUUCUGCUGUUUGCGCUACGGUAUUUUUUUUUCGUCGCAAUAGUGAUUUUUGCGCGACGAAAAUAUAUUCGUCGCGCAAACGUCCGUCGCGCAAAUAGUAAAUCGUAGUAGUGUGAUUUGGUUUAGACUUGGUUUAAUUAUCAUUGUUGUGGUUGGUUCACCAAAAAGAUUUGGCUUAGAAUUACCAGUUUUGUUGUUGGUUUAGUUAUGCUUGGCAUUUGAGGAUCCUAUGCUUACUUGUAUGGGUAAUACAUUUUAUUGAUCGUUUCAUAUACUAAUUAUGAACUUUUAGUUCCAUUGUGCAUUUAAGAGUACACAUAUUUCAUAUGUAAUUCGAAAGUUUGUCGCUGAAAUUUCUGAGAAUUUGAAACUAGAUAAGCACACCUUGCACAAAGUUCAUAUAUUUUCUUCCAGCAAGUCUGUCUAUUAACCCCCCUUAUCUGAAAUUAAUUGUUAAAAGUUCUGAUUCAUCUUUAAUCAUUGUCUUACCCUUGUUGAAUAACACUCCUCAUUCUAAUUUAUAUUCGAAGUUUGAGGUUUCAAUUUCAAUUGUGGGCUUUGAUUUUACAGAUUUUGUUUGUCAAUUUCAAUUUGGACAAAGCAUAUGCAAACAAAGUAAGGCAUUAUCUAUUAUUUGGAUCAUUUCCAUAUGUUUAUAUGUUUUUAAUAUCAUUUGCCUAUGUAGUUGACAUGUUAUAACAUUUUCGUAGUGUUGAAUAUAUAUAUAUAAUAAUUUUAUUUUAGUGGAUGUGAGAUCUCAGUUUGUUGCUUUAUAUAAUUAUUUCUUUGCAAUUUAAUUUUUUUUAUCAGUCAUACUAUUGUUGACGGCUAAAAACCAUCAAGAAACAACUCUUAAGUUUUUUAAAAAAUAAAUAAAUAAAUAAAGAUUUGUUGAUGCUUAAAAAGCAUCAAGAAAAGAUAGUUUCUUGACGGUUUUGUGACGUUUCAUAACCGUCAUGAAACAUUACAUUUUGACGAACGUCUUUCUGAUAGUGGCAUCCGUGACGCUUUCCGAGCCAUCAAUUAAGGGCUAUCGUGAUGCUUUUUAGUUGUCAGCAAAAGGUGUUUUUCUUGUACUGUAUUCACUCAAAAUCGUUUUUCAUUUAGGGUUGCUAGUGUGGUUGAAUGCCAUUUGUUUUGUUAAUGAAUAUUAUACAUUAUGGAUUUUUGUAGAAAUGUCGCUUGAAAUUAUACCUCAGUUUCAAUUUGUCACCUUAAAGAAAAAUUUAAGAGAAAUGUCACCUUAAUUUUUCAAAAUCCACGAUUUGUCAUCUCACUUUAACAUCAUCCAAUUUUCCAUCUAUUUUAAGGGUAUUUUAGUCUUUUCAUUUUCAAGGGAAAAAAAGAGAGGAAGAAAAAGACCUCUCUCUUACUUUCUCCCCCAACCCAACCCCACCCGCCCCCCAAAACACAUCGCAUAGGACCGCCUCCCCCUUCCCCACAUUUCUUUUUUCUUUUUGGCCUACUUUUCCACUAUGUUUAUGUUGAAGGAUCUAAAGUUUUCUUGGUCACCAUCUAUUACGUAGGCUACCGACUUGUUGGUUUGGGUGGGUUGAGGGAAUUUGUGUGUGGAGGGCAGGUGUUCAUGUUGUGUGCACCAAGACCUUAUCGUUGAUGAACUAUGUGACGGCACACACACAAACUCGUUGAGAAUAAAACAAACAUACCACCAAGAGAGUAAAACAAACACACAAGGACACAAAGAUUUAUAGAGGUUCGGCCUCCUGCCUACGUCUUUUUGGUGAUUCACUCGAGAAAUUCACUAGUAUGUAAAAAUAACUUUGGUUACAACUGAACCCCCUUAGCCCUCACAAGAACCUUAGAUCUCUUUUCUCUCACCCUUGCUCAAACCCUUUGAUGCCCUUGUAGACACUCAAGAAUUCACCCUUGAAUUCUAUCUUGUGUUACAUCUUCUCUUCUCCCUUUUGUUAACCUAACCCUAAAAGUCCUAUUUAUAAUGCAUAGGACUUAAGUUACAAGUUAACUUGGAAUAGGAAACAUAAAAUACCCCAAAAAUUGGAGAAAAUCUGUCCAAAUCUAGCCUGCAAAAUCAUCCUUCUGCCGCUCGAGCUGCCGGUGGCGCUCAUGGGAUGGGGGAAUUGGAGAUUUUCUUUUCAAUUUUAAUUGUUUAAAAGAUAUACAAUUUUUUAUUAUAAUAAUUUUUCCAUUUUUAAAAUACACUUGAAAAUAGAAAGCUUAAAAUGCCCUUAAAAAUAGAUGGAAAAUUGGAUGGUGUUAAAGUCAGAUGACAAAUCAUGGAUUUUGAAAAAUUAAGGUGACAUUUCUCUGAAAUUUUUCUUUUAAAAGUGACAAAUUGAAACUGAGGUAUAAGUUCAGGCGACAUUUCUACAAAAAUCCCUAUACAUUACAAUAUUAUAACAAUAAAAUUGGCUAAAAUUGAUAUGUUCCCUCUUUUCUUUUCUUUUUCUCUUUUCCUUUUCAUUUUAUGCUUUGUUGCUAUUGCUAUGUUUAUCCUACAAAUAUAGCAACUUCUCCACCAUUCAUUUGUUAGUGACUACGAUGCUUAGUAACUUCUUCAGCUCCCCUUAUUUCCAUGUACUAACCAGGGACACCAGGUCAGCAUCUUCGGUAAGAAUCCUAACUCAAUCAAACAAUGACAUCUGUAAAUAUUCAAAAUUGGAAUUUGCAUUGUGAUAGUUGAAAGCAUCCUUGUCCCAAAAAAAGCCAAAAAAUAAAAUAAAAUUGAGAGCAUUAAGUCCUUUUCAAAUUAUGCUAAUAUGCAAAAUUGGAAUUUUGAUGGAGUUGCUUCCUUGACUUUUCCACCUUUGUAUCCAGUCCACUUUGCACAAGGAGCCAAGUUUGAGAGAUAGUUUUCUGUAUUUACACCAUCCAGGAGAAAAUUAAAAAACUAUUUCAUGCCAAACUAACUACGGAUUCUUGCAAAGGACCCAUUAGUGUAGUGGUUUGGAGUAUUUACUCCCUCAGGCAAGGUCUUGGGUUCGAGUCCUAGCAUUCAUGUUGUGUGUGUGAGUUUAAUAUGCUAUCACCCCUUCCAAUAGGAAAGGACCUCAAAAAAAAAAAAAAAACUACAGAUUCUUUAAUUGAAAGAAACCCCAUAUUAAUCAUCCUUUGGCACAUAAAUGUUUGGUAAUUGGCAUUAAAGUAUCUAAAGGUUACGAAAUUAAAGAUUUUAAUGCAAACCUAAAAUUGGAAAAGAGGGCACCAAUUCAUGUAAAAUAUGGUGUACUUAGUAGAUCCAACAUAUUUUUUUAGCAACCAAGGACAAUCAUCAUUUUUUUUUUUAAGAACCAAGGAUAGCUUACAUUCUAGUUUGUCCAUCAUGUCAACACAUUUAUAAUUAAAACUUCUUUUUUGGUGAGGUUUCAAUUUUUGUCACUGUAACAAGACCACAAUUGCCAUUCAGUAUGCUAACAUUGUCACUAUGUUUGCCAAUUGCAUAUUAUCUAGAACAUAAAGGCUUUGGUGUUUUGUAUAUCCUCGGGGUGCCAAACCUGUCUUUAUAAAAAUGGUCCUUAUGAUACUACUUUAACAACAAAAAAAUAUAAUAAACUAGGCCUUUGUAGUCACUGAACGAAUGUUUUCUCAUAGAUAUGACUAUUUAAAUGUAAUUACGGGAUUAAAACAUUAUAAUAAAUUGGAGUGAACCAUAACAUUAUAUAUGAUCCAAUCCUUUUCAUAUAUUUUUGUUCAAGACUUUGUUUUAGAAUGCUCUUUUACUAAUUUGGUACAGGUCCCUAAAAUCUACGCCUUUAUGAGGCAACGUCUUUAUUUCUUUGGUUAUUCCAGUUUAGAAUAUAUUUGUACAAAUGAGAUGACUCCCAACAUAAAGUCACAUUCAACCAAAAAGCAUGAAGUCACACACAAAAAGAACACGGACAAUUGCUAAGUUUAUCUUGUAUCCUUAUUUUAUUGAUCCAACCCAAUUGAAAAAUAAAAAAGAUGAUAUAAUAUAUUGUUCACUGCUUACAUCCAUGAGUAAAGUCCUCCAUUUGAAAUUGCGUGAUUAUACAAAAUUGGAAUGAAAAAAGAAAAUCCUACAACUAAAUUUGAUAUAUUCCUUUUCAUUUUAUGUUGGAUGUUAAGUUUUCUUGUUUCUUGUUGAAAAGAAAAAUGAAAAGAAAUAAAUAAAUUACACAGCUAGCAACUUCUCCACCUUCCCUUCUUCCCAUGUACUGACAACAAGGGAGGCCUUCAAUCCAAAAUAAAGACAAGGGAUGCCAGGUCAGCAUCUCAGAUAAGUAUCCCAACCAAAACCAAUCAAAUAAUGACAUAUGUAUCUCUUUUUGUGUUUUGUUCUAUUUCUCUUUGAAUUAACUGCGAAGUUUCAUAAGCGUGUCCUCCUUUUGAAAUUGUGUAUUAUUCAAAAUUGGAAUUUGCUGGUCAUACUUGAUAUAAGCUAAAACAGUUUCCAACAUCUUGUACCAUUUUUUUCCAGUGUGGGUCAUAACUUGAAGAAGCCCACCGACAAUUUCUCAAAAGCUAUUACCAUCCAACUUUGAAAAAUAAAAGUUUCAAAAGUUACCCCAAACAACAGCCCUUGAAAGAGAGUUUUCCAAGGCUAAAGAUUACAAGGAUGUUAUUGGCACAUGCAUUAACGUGUGACAAGAAGUUAGUUAUAUUUAUAAAGUAAAAGAACGAAGUACAUAACAUGUAAGUUGAUGCCAAAUAUUUGAUCAACAGAGCUAAACAUAAAACCACGACAAUAUAACGUUGUUCACCAAAAAUUGUGUUUCGUUGAGGGUCAGUAGUGUAGGUUUCAAGAUACGAUUUAUUUUGUUAAAGAAUAUUCUGAUAUUCUAACAAUAAAAUUGGCUCAAUUUGAUAUGUUUCUUUUUUUUUUUGUUUUUGUUUUCCCUUUCAUUUUAUGCUUUGUUGUGCUAUUGCUAAGUUUAUCCUAGAGACCAGGGAUGCUUAGCAAGUUUCUUCACCUGCCCUUCUUCCCAUGUACUAACUAGGGAUACCAUGUCAGAAUCUUAGAUAAGAAUCCCAACCCAAUCAAACUAUGACAUCUGUAAGUAUUCAAAAUUGGAAUUUGCAUUGUGAUAGUUGAGUGGAAGAAUCGAUUAAGGCUUGAGUGGAAGACAAACUUCAGUGGAGGAAAGUAAUUAAUCUCACAAGACAUAGCCCAUCAGUUGGCUCAUUUUUCUUGAGUGUGUAGUCCUGGCCUUGAGGCGAGGCCACAUUGCUUUGGAGAUUUCUUUCUACUUGGUGAAAUUAUAAUUUAGAAGAAGCAAACUGCGUUUUGCAAUUUGUGCGAUUCAAGCAUAUCUGACACUAGUAAUUAGACCAUAAUCUUUGUCCGACCAGAAAAUAAGAAAAGUUGUCUUGUACCAUUUCUGCCAGUGUGGGUCCCACCCACCCCAUACGAGUAAUUUGAAGAAGUCCACCGACAAUUUCCCAAAAGCUUUGGCGUCCAACUUUGCCGACCCCAUCCCCAUGUGAGGCCAUAGAAAAGUUUUCAGCCACAAUCAAAGAAGGGAACAGUCCUUGAAAAGAGAGGGUUUUCCAAGGCCAAGAUUACAAGUUCAUGUUAUUUACAGUCUCAAAAAGCUUCCAUACUUGUUUACAAACCUGUAUUUUCAAGUUGUGCUAGCCUAGCUAUUUGCAAAUCUUGGAAUAUUUUACUUCAUCCAAAUCCCUUGCAGUCUGCAGAGAAGAUAAAAGACAUGGCUUUGAUUGGAGAGGCUCUUAUCUCUGCUUCCGUCCAGGUGUUGUGCGACAGAAUUACUUCACCCGAGUUCGUUGACUUAUUUUGGCACAAGAAACUCGAUGAGCCACUCCUCAGGAAGCUGAGGACGACACUGUUGGCCUUGAACUUGGUGCUCAAUGAUGCAGAGGGGAAGCAACUUGUGAACCGAGAUGUGAAAAAGUGGCUUGACGAGCUCAGACAUGCUGUCUUUGAUGCGGAGGACUUACUGGAUGAGAUUGACACUGAAGCUUUGCGAUGCAAGCUGGAAGAAGGUGAAGAUCAAACUCACAAAUUUACCAAUAAGGUGCGGAACUUGCUCUUUUCUCCUCGUAGUCAUUUUUAUCAGAGCAUGAAUGAUAAGAUAAAAGAGUUACUAGCAAGGUUAGAAAACUUUGUACAACUGAAAAGUGCUCUUGGUCUGGGAGAAGUUGCUGGGAGGAAGGUUUCGCAAAGAACUCAAACAACCUCCUUGGUUCUUGAACCUUAUGUAUAUGGUAGAGAUGAAGUCAAAGAAAAGUUAUCAAAAGUGUUGCUAUCUGAUGAAGCAGGCAAGGAUCCUGUGUCUUUCCUCACCAUUGUUGGAAUGGGUGGGGUUGGCAAGACAACCCUUGCUCGAAUGCUUUACAAUGACGAUAAGGUGAAAGGGCAUUUUAAACUUAAAGCUUGGGCUUGUGUUUCAGACUACGAUGAUUAUAUUAAAAUUACUAAAACUCUCCUUGAGGCAGUCACUUCAAAGCCUUGUAACACGGCAAAUCUGAAUUUGCUUCAAAAAGAUCUAAGAGAGCAAUUGAGGGGAAGGAAAUUUUUAUUUGUGUUGACCUAUGGAAUGAGAAUAAUGAGGAUUUGAACUACCUUAGAGCUCUUUUUAUUACUUUAGGAACAAUGGGAAGUAAAGUCAUUGUAACAACACGGAACAAAAAUGCAGCAUCUGUCAUGCAAAAUGUUCAUAUUCAAUACUUAGAACCAUUGUCGUAGGAGGACUGCUGGUUAUUACUUGCAAAACAUGCAUUUGGAAAUGAAAAGUGUAGUGCACAUUCAAACUUGGAAGACAUUGGAAAGCAAAUUGCACUCAAGUGCAAAGGGUUGCCUUUAGCUGCACAAACACUUGGGAGUUUGUUACGUUGCAAUAUGGAUUUCGAGUACUGGAAUAGAAUACUAAAUGAUAGUUUUUGGGACCAACCCUAUGAUAAAACUAACAUUCUUCCGGCUCUAGGGUUGAGUUACCAUUAUCUUCCUACUCAGUUGAAACGAUGCUUUGCUUAUUGUUCAAUUUUUCCAAAGGAUUAUGAGUUUGAAAAGGAAGAUAUAGUUCAAUUAUGGAUUGCAGAAGGUAUAAUUCCACAAGCUGAGAAUGGAAAAAGGAUGGAAGCAUUGGCUAGAAUAUACUUUGAUGAGCUGUUAUCACGAUCGUUGUUUCAAAAGUCAAGUAAAUUCAGCUUCAUUAUGCAUGAUCUCAUUAAUGACUUGGCUAUGUUCAUGUCUCAGGGGUUUUGCCUUAGGCUCGAAGAUGGGGUAUCCCGUGAAGUUAAAAGAGCUCGUCAUUUGUCAUAUGCUAGGGGAGAAUUUGAUGCUGCUCCAAGAUUUGAACCAUUAUAUGAGGCUAAAUGUUUGCGGACCUUCCUACCUACCAUUUGUUGUGGGCAAAUCUACUGGAUCAGGCAUAAGAGAACUGAGGCAGUUCCCGCAACUUCGAGGAAAACUAUCAAUUUUGAAGCUACAAAAUGUAGUUGAUGCGAGGGAUGCACUGCACGCCAAUAUGAAGCACAAGAAAGAUCUCAAGGAGUUAGAGCUUUCAUGGGGUGCGGAGGAUGCUGAUGAUUCCCAAAAGGAGAAAGAUGUACUCGACAAGCUCCAGCCUUGCGUGAAUUUGGAGAAAUUAACCAUCAAAUUCUAUGGUGGAACUAAUUUUCCGAAUUGGUUAGGAGACUCGUCUUUUUCUAACAUACAAGUCAUGCAUCUCAGUGACUGUAGUUAUUGUUGGUCGCUCCCACCAGUUGGACCGCUACCGGCACUCAAACAGCUCUGUAUAAGAAGAAUGAAGUUUGUGAAGACGAUUGGCGUUGAAUUCUAUGGCAGAAAUGGAGCUUAUCUGACUCAGCCAUUUCGAUCUCUGGAGAAGCUAGAGUUUAGGGAGAUGCCAGAGUGGGAGGAAUGGGUACCAAGUGGAAGUGCAAGUGGAGGUGAAUAUGGUCCAGACUUUCCUCGUCUCCAGGAGCUGAUUCUAUACGAGUGUCCGAAGCUAAGAGGAAGUUUGCCUUGUGAGUUGCCUUGCUUGAAGAAGCUUACGGUGUAUGGGUGUAAGGUUUUACAUGAUGGAAGGGCCAUUACCGCAACUACCAAUAGUCUUAACUAUAAAUCUCUGGAAGAAUUGAAUAUAAGUGGUGGAUGCCAAACUCUGUUAUCAUUAUUAGAGACAAAGCUCCUGUCCGGACUUGAGAUUCGAAAUGUUGUUGACAUACAGUGCUUGCCCAACUGCAGUCGUCUUCAACAUUUGACUCUUUCGAAUUGUCCAACGCUGUCAUCAUUUCCCAAAGAUGGCCUACCCACUACAUUGACAUCACUUUAUAUAAACAAUUGUAGGAAAUUAGAAUUCCUACCUCAUGAGAUGUUGGCCAAAUUAACAUCGCUUGACUAUUUGUGCAUACAAAAUAGCUGUGAUUCAAUGAGGUCCUUCCCGUUGGGCAUUUUUCCCAAAUUGACGAGGCUUGAAAUUCGUGGUUGUGAGAAUCUGGAAUCCCUUUCCUUGAUUGAAGAAGAAGGAGCUGUUGAGAAUCUCAGCCAUCUCAAUUACUUGCAAGUCUAUAACUGUCCAAAAAUGGUGUGUUUUCACGAGGGAGAAUUGCCCACUCCCAACCUGAGUCACUUUGUAGUCGGUGGUUGCGAGAAUUUGAAGUCAUUGCCCAAAAGCCUUCACACCCUCACUGCCCUUCGAUCUUUGUCGAUAUGUAAUCUUCCGAAUCUGGAGUCAUUUGCAGAAGAUGGGGGUUUGCCUCCCAACCUCCGACAAGUAAGUAUUAGGAAUUGUGAGAGACUGAGGGCUUCAUCAGUGGGUUUGCAAGCACUUGACUCCCUUGAGAUCAGUGGAAGUGACCAUGUAUUCUCUAUCACACUCUUCACAUCUAUUCUCUAUCAACUCUGAAAUCUUUGGACGGAAAGGGUCUUGGACACCUCACUUCUCUUCAAGAGCUAGAUAUUAACAGGUGUCCAAGUCUGGAAUUCCUGCCAGGAGAGGAACUUCAACACCUCACUUCUCUUCAAAAUCUAUACAUUUGGAACUGUCCCAGUCUUCAAUGCUUGCCAGAAGAGGGUUUUCCAUCAUCUCUUUCUCAUCUGAGUAUCCGCCGGUGUCCUACCCUGGAGGAAAGGUAUAAGAAUAAAACGGGACGAGAUUGGGCCAAGAUAUCUCACAUUCCUUGCAUCGAGAUAGGCAACGAAGUGAUCAUAUAAUAUGAGCUAUUCCAUAUUUCACGCUCAACCCUCAACUCUCAAAUCAAAGUCAGGUGAGGUAUGUGCCUUCUCUUACUUUAAAAAACUGCUGCUCAAUAACACUCUUCGCACUCUAUAUAUUAUGGCCUGUCAGUCUAAAAUUCCUGCCAGGAGAGGAACUUGAACGCCUCUCUUCACUGCAAAGGCUACAUAUUUGUGGGUGUGACAAUAUCCAAUUCCUGCCAGAAGAGCGUUUGCUGCAAUCUCUUUCUUAUCUGUGCAUCGACCAUUGUUUUGCCAUGUAGAAAAGGUAUCUCACAUUCCUUGCGUCAAGAUAGGUGAAGAAGUGAUCAUAAGAUAUGAGCUCUCUCUCCCUCUCGCUCACAUACAAAGUACUUAAAACACUCAAUCUGAUUUCUAUUAUUAUUUUGCUCAGUAAAUUUUGUUUAAAUUUGCUUUGUUUCUCAUUGCGCUUGUUCUGCUUAUCACAACUUAUAUCCUAUUUAAAUCUCAAAUGCUGAAUAGUUAGCAGUCUUUUCGCAGGACAGCAUAUCUUCUCUUGGAGAGCUAUUCAUUUGCAAGGUUUCUUUAUGUGUCAUUUCCAGAGGAGGGUUUACUAUUUAAUAGAAAGGUUCACCUGGAAUAUCUCAAAUGACACAUUCCCAAAUACAGGCAUUGAAUGCACAACAUUUUGAGGUACUAUUUUUGUAAUAAAAAUGUACUUGAGUCUCAUUUGAGCUAGUUUAAAUUGUAUUCAAUGUCUAUGGAUAACCUGUGAGCUUAAGUUGUAAGAUAAAACUCACAGUAUAUUAUUAGGGUUUAGGGUUCAACAGGUGAGCUUAAGUUGUACUUUCCUAGGUACUGCAUGUAUAUUAUCUUAGUAUCAACACUUGGUCUUAUGUGGACGAGAGAGAACAUUUGAGGAAUUACAAAAUCUUCUUAGUGAAUUAAGCUUGUUUCAGCUCUGUUUGUCAUCCCUCACAUUUUCUUUGUUAAGCCUUGAUUUUUUAUUAGACAUACGAAAAAAUGCUUUUAUAAGACAGGAGAUGAAUGCUUUUAUAUGUUGAUGUCGUAGUCAGUCUUCAACCACACUCUGUUUUUAGAAUUCAUUUAUGUUACUAGUUGAGAGCUGCUGUAUUUUAUAUUUCGUUCCUGUAAUGUUUGGAUGUUUAGCUUGAGCAGUCUAGCUUAUCCAGUAGAUAACUUGUCCCCUGUUUUGUAAUGUUUUUGUUUCCUCUAAUGAAAGCAGGUUUUACUUAUCUUGAACUGCAGAAGCCUACUUUUUGACAUAGGUGGCAUGGCACAAACUCGCAUCCGCAUUUCCAUCCCCAUUGGCAUGCUGUCUCAUCUUUUCUAUUCUGUUACCAGCUUGAAGCUUGUGUGGACAUGUUAUGCUCUUGUAAUUCUGAUCACAAACAUCACUUGACAAAUGGAAAGUCACAAUCAGAUCUUUCAGGUGAUCUGGAGGUUUACUUUCUAACAUUUGUUUUCGUGGGGGGGAGACAACAAUACAGAAUUUAAAAUUUCUGAUAAUCAAUAGUAGUUUGCAUAUAUCAGCUGGGACCUGUAUGACUGUAUUAUGUAAUUAAUUAUUUCUCUUAUUGUUUGGGUACUGUUAAAAGGAGUUAGCCACACAACAUAAAAAAGGAGGUCUCUUAUUUCAUACAAUUUUUCAAAUGUGAUCAUUAAUCCGUUUCUUUUUCAACAAUAGAGGAAUGUAUACUAAUCGUCUGGUCCAUCUGCUGCUUCACUCCCUAGUAGCUUCAUCUCCUGUCCUUUGCUUUAUUUCUGUUGAUGAAUGUUUUGUCUGGGUUAUUUAUUUUCAUUUCAUGUCCAUUGCUUUAUUUCUGUUUGGAUUCUUAAUUAAAUCUGUCCUGGACUUGAACAAGGGUUAGGUUAGCUGUAUAAUUUGCGGUUUUAUAUACACAACUGUCUACAUUGAUUAAAACCAGCAUUAUUCUAAGGUUCAUUUAGAAUGUAUUAUCACCAAAAUUAUAAAGAAUACUUCUAUUACAAUUAAUUUGUUGAUUCUAAUUUGGACUUGUAGGAACAGACCAAACAUGUUCAUGCGUGGCAUUGCUCAAGUCAUCAUCAUUCGAGACAGAGAAUAAGCCUUCAAGUGUCUGCUGAGUCAAUGAACCUUUCUAGAUAUCUCAAGUGUAAUGGAAAUUGAUGAGUUACAAAGGAUUUGUAAACAUUUUCUACUGGAGGCUAGAAAUGCUUCAAAUAAAUGACCGUGUUGCAAUUAUUUUGUAGGAUCAAAGACUCUGCAAAGAGGUAAGAAAGUCAUCAUCAAGUAACUUUGCUCUUCAAACUUUUUAUUUUUAUUUUUAAAUAUCAGUAAUAACUGGGAAAGCUUGCAUCUCCUUAAAUUGCUCAUUCUUACAUCUUUUAUAGUUUGUUGAUCUUGGGCAAGUGGAGAGAGAGGCGUCAAGUGAUACGCAACAACCAUUUUCUGUGAGCUGAUUUGAUAAAGAGAAAUGGUAUGCUUUCUUGUCUUAAGCGGUGUGUUCUGCAAUUAUUUGAAACAAAGGAUGCCGCACUUCAAGUUCGAGAAAAUCAGGUAUUUUAGUAUUUUAUUCUUGAGAAAUUUGAUUUAUGUAGAAACUUGAACAUGUAAAUAAAAUAAAUAAAAUAUAUUAUAUGCUGUUAAUGAGUUAAUAUGGUGCUUGCUUCUAGUUGGAAAUUUAUGUAGUCAUCUACCUAUGAUCAAAUAAAGAUGAAGAAUAAAAUAUAAUUGAGAGCAUCUUCCUCUCCCCUGCUUUGCUCAUCCCUUGUUCUUCCACUUCAGCCCCACUAUUACACCAUUUUUUCAGCCACAAUUAUAAUAGCUCCAUGAGCAUUAAGUCCUUUUCAAAUUCUGCUGACAUUCAAAAUUGGAAUUUGCUGGUGAUAUAUGAUAGCAUCUUUGUCCGACCAAAAAGAGAAAAAAAAAAAGUUGAUAGCAUAUUGUACCAUUUUGGCCAGUGUACGCAAUAUUAUUGCAUCCAACUUUGCAUAUUAACAUCAGUGGCCACAGUUCCAUGAUUUGAGUGCACAGAAAAGUUUCAAAAGUUGUCCCACAAAGAACAGUCGUUCAAAGUGAAAGAGAGAUUUCAAAGCUUAAUUACAAGUUCAUGUUAUUUACAAUAUCAAAAAGCUUUCAUACUUGCUUACAAACCUGUAUUUCCAAGUUCUGCAAACCUUGGAAUAUCACUUCAUCCAAAUCCCCUUCCAAAGCAGGAAAAAAUGGCAGCAGCUUUGAUUGGAGAGGCUCUCAUCUCUGCUUCUAUCGUGGUGUUGUGUGACAGAGUUACUUCAGCCGAGUUCAUAGACUUAUUUCAGCAGAAGAAACUUGAUGAAACACUCCUCAUGAACCUGAAGACGACACUGUUGAUUUUGUUUGCGGUGCUCAAUGAUUCAGAGGAGAAGCAAAUUGUGAACCCUGAAGCUUUGCGAUGCAAGCUGGAAGGUGAGGAUCAAACCCACAAUAAUUAACCAAAAAGGAUCUUUUUGAUUGUUUGAAAGGAGGGUCUUGAUGAUUUGAAAGGAGAGGGUUGCUUUAUUUCUGUUGGAUGCUUAAUUAAAUCUUAUUUGGAGUUGAACAAGGAUUAGGUUAGCUGUAUAAUUAGUGGUAAACGCCUUUUUCUAAGGGUCAUUUAGACUCCUAUUACGAUUAAUUUGUUGUUUCUAAUUUGGACUUGUAGGAACAGACCAAAUAUGUUCACACGUGGCAUCGCUCAAGUCAUCAUCAUUUCAGACUGAAAAUCAGCCUUCGAGUGUCUGUUGAGUCAAUAAACCUUUCUAGAUAUAUCAAGUGCAAUGGAAAUUCAUGAGUUACAUAGAGAUUUUUAAACAUUUUGAAGAUUGCAACACCUGCAAGUGAGAUAGGCGGUGACGAAAUCAGAGCUGAUUUUGAAGCCUCUGAUGCCCCUGUUGUUGCAAGUUGCACCUGAGAACAAGUUUUUUUUUUCUUUGGGGUAAAAAACUGGCAACAUGUUCGGAGCUGACAAUUCAAUCCCUGAUGAACUAGAGAAGCAAAGCUCCGGUAAGGAAAUUGGUCAAGGUUGUGACAGGGAUGAUUGAUGGUGAAAUGGAUGCUAUUUCUUAUUGCAGCCUGUUCUCAAAGUUCUUGUUGGCAAAUGCAAUUGAUGGAGUAUUUUGAUUGGGAGGAGAGAUAAUGACAUGGCUUGACAAUUCUAGAACAGCCCAUCAUUAAUCCCAGAAAAAAUCCCGUUUCUGCUAAACAAUCACUUAUGGCAAGGCCAACUCUGUAAAUGGAAUUUGUGAUCCCUUCAAAUUGUACACAUUUUUUCUUUUUGAGGAAUUUAAUCAAACAGUAUUCUAAUGCAUUAUGAUAGCACUACACGCUUUUGUUGUAACAAAUUACAAGGAGGAAUUUGGAUUGAGUUUCUUGUAUAAGCACACCUUACACAAAUUUCGUAUAUUUUCUUCCAGCAAGUCUGUUUAUUAACCCCCUUAUCUGAAAUUAAUUGUUAAAAGUUUUGAUUCAUCUUUAAUCAGUGUCUUACCCUUGUUGAAUAACACUCCUCUUUCUAAUUUAUAUUUGAAGUUUGAGCUUUCAAUUUCAAUUGUGGGCUUUGAUUUUUCAGAUUUUGUUUGUCAAUUUCAGUUUGGACAAAGCAUAUAUGCAAACAAAGUAAGCAUUUUAUGUUAUACUUUUGAACUAGGUGUUGAUUUGAUUUAAUCAUAAGUUUUGCUGGUGCAUUUACUAGGCUAAUCAUUCAAUACUUUUGAUCAUAGAACUUCUUUGGUUGAUAUUAUCUUUGUUAAGUUUAACCAUAACUUUAGAGAGGGGACUUCAACAGAUUUAUAAUCUCAUCAUUAUAGUAUUAAAAAUUAGAGAUUAUUUAAGGCAUUGUCUAUUAUCUGAAUUCUGCUUACUUUUAGUUCAUAUGUUUACAUCUUAGCAUAUUCAUGUGAUUAGUGCGGCUCAUACCACAAAGGCAAUUUUAGGCUCAUCAAGUGCUAAGCAAUGUCAAGCUUCCAAAUGACAAGUUCUCUACAUAGUUUGAGACCUACACUUACUAGAUAUUAGAUCAUUUCGAUCAUUUCCAUAUGUUUAUAUGUAAUUGACAUGUUAUAACAUUUUUGUAGCGUUAUAUAAUUAUUUAGCAAUUUAAUUAUUUCUUUGCAACUUAAUUUUUUUUGUCAAUCAUACUAUUGUUGACUGCUAAAAACCAUCAAGAAAUAGUUCUCAAGUUAUAAAAAAAAAAAAAUUUUAAAAAAGAUUUGUUGAUGCUUAAAAAGCAUCAAGAACAGAUAGUUUCUUGACGGUUUUGUGACAUUUCAUAACUGUAGGGGGCUUUUUCUUCCGACAGCUGUAAAUGGGCUGGGCUGCCGUAAAGGGCAGACUGAUGAAAUUGUCCCCUUUUGUAUGAGCUCAAAAAUUAAGCCCCAAAAUACUUUGAAAGGGCAGCAGAGCCUUAGGAAGUAUUUUGGUUACCCUCACCAACUAAAACAACAACAACUUACAGGUAAUUACUUAAUGCUUAUGGAUGAACUCUUGAGCUUGGCAUGAGAGACAUAUGGCAUGGAAGCAAAAUCAACAUGAGUUUAGCACUGAGGGGAAAUUUAGGCUCUCUUGGGGGAAAAAGGGAAGUGUUAAGGUGAGAGAGGAGAAGUUUGUAGGAGAUUUAGCUAAGAAAGGAGAAAUAUAGAACAAUGCUCUUUUGGCAGCUUGACAGAUGCUCUGUUUGCCAGAAAAGGAAGAUGGAGAAGAAAUGUGAAUAGUGCAAGAGUUUGCUAGAUUUUUGCAGGUAAGAGAGGAAGCUUGCUCUCUGGGUCUGAGUUGAGUUUUUUUGUGUGGAAGAGACCUCAUUUUAUAGCCCUUGGAAACCAUCACUUCCCAAGAAACCCUAAUGGCUUCUACCCAUUUUGGCCAAGCUUUUCCCUUCCUUUCUCAUUUCCUUCCUUGACUUUACCCCUCUUGAUGAAAUCCCCUCUGCCUAUUUGCACCAUAUCAGAGUUUUUUGAAGCUCAAGGCCCCUUUUUCCCGCAGUUGUCUCAAUGGGAGACUUCCAUUCCCAGUCAUCUCCUUUAUUGCUUUCCUUUCUUUUUUUCAUGGCCAAGUUUGGUGGGGAAAGGAGUUGGGAUAUAUAUGCUGGUUUGAAGGGUGCUUCUCUUCCUGGCAUCUUACACACUAAUACCCCUUGGUUCCUUGAAUGUUUUGGCUUUGAAACUUGCUCUCCCCCCCCCCCCCCCCCCCCCCAUGUACUGGAACCUACCAGCAGCUCUAUUCAAUGAAUCUUCAGACCUUCUCUUCGUGGCUUUUAUUUUUUAUCAACGGGCUGGGGCUUUUGUGGCUCAUUGUGGCAAUUGUAUGGGCUAAGGUGGUUCAUUAAGUAAGUGGGCUAUUUUUAUUAAACAUUAGGCUUUUUGGUUGAGUCACUAGGCUAUUUUGAUUGGGCUAUUGGGCUAUUUUUUUCCUCUCUUGUGCUCACCCACAUGUUUGGACCAAAGAAAUGAGCUUGAGUCCUGAGGCUCCCAAGCGACCCGAGACUUUCCAUUUCUGGCCCAUCAAUGGGCCUCAUGUUGAUUUAUUACCAUCCAUACCACAACCCACUCAAGCAGGCUCCGGGCAUUUGAAUGACUUGGGCGCACUUAGGCUUGUAGUGUGGUUGGGUGCGAAAUAACGAUUUCGUGCUUGGCAUGUUUUAAUUUUAUCAUCCUUGGGAAAGGCUGCGAUGUUUGAUUUCGGCAUGGGCUUGUAGAGCUGGUAUGCUUUAUUUCAACUCCUAGCAUGACGAAUUAUUUAUUUAGCAUGGCACGUGAAUUACAACUCGCAUGUGGUGGGUUUUUGUGUACUACACCUUACGCCUCUUCUUAAUAGAACAUCGUUUUGGGCUGAUAAUUUAUUCGGGCCAAACCGUGAAUUUUUUGGGUCUCAAUAAUAACCAUCAUGAAACAUUACAUUUUGACUGACGUCAAGAAAUGGGGUAUCCCUUUCCUGAUAGUGGCAUCCAUGAUGCCUUCCAAGCAGUCAAUUAAGGGCUAUCGUGAUGCAUUUUAGUUGUCAGCAAAAGGUGUUUUUCUUGUACUGUAUUCACUCAAAGUCGUGUUUCAUUUAAGAUUAGUAGUAUGGUUGAAUACCAUUUGUUUUGUUAAAGAAUAUUAUACAUUAGGGAUUUUUGUAGAAAUGUCAUUUGAACUUAUACCUUAGUUUCAAUUUGUCACCUUGAAGAAAAAUUUAAGAGAAAUGUCACCUUAAUUUUUAAAAAUCCAUGAUUUGUCAUAUGACUUUAAAAUCAUCCAAUUUUCCAUCCAUUUUAAGGGUAUUUUAGUCUUUUCAUUUUGAAGGAAAAAAAAGAGAUGAAAAAAGAGACCUCUCUCUUACUUUGUCCCUCAACCCAACCCCACCCGCCCCCCAAAACACAUCACAUAGGAUUGCCUCCCCCUUCCCCACUUUUCUUUUUUCUUUUUGUCCUACUUUUCCACUAUGUUUAUGUUGAAGGAUCUAAAGUUUGCUUGGUCACCAUCUGUUACGUAGGCUUCCCAAUUGUUAGUUUGGGUGGGUUGUGGGAAUUUGUGUGCUCGAAACCCGAGACGAAUCUUGUGGAAUUCCCGACAUCACACCGAUGCCGGGCCCACUUCUGAACUAAAUUCUCUUUUCCAAAAUUAAGGAAAAAGAGUACGAGGCUUUCUGCCGAAAUUUCGACAGAGUAUUCCCUAUAAAUUUAACAUUUCAGCUUUGGUGGCCGUUCUCUCAUUUCAGCUUUGGUGGCCGGAUGAGAGAACGGUCGGCUAAAACGUGGCCAGCUGGCACUGCCGUCGCGAGAGAGAGAGAGAGAGAGAGAGAGAGAGAUUUUUAUCAAAUCAUUUUUGCCAAAAUUACGAUUAUGCAACUGAGGGUAUUUUGAUCGUAUCUUUUUCAUUAUAACUCUGAUUCAAGCCCACUACGUGUUUACGGACUCAUCUCGCCGUGCUCUAUGCAAUUGUAUAGUUGAAAUUCCCAAAUUCCACCCCAGUCAAAAAUUCAACUUUAAACCCUACAAAAUAUUAUAGGGGCAAAAUGGUCUUUUAUCUAAUUAAAUUAAUAAUUGAAAAUUUAUUUAGGACCGGGUUGUUACACUGUCGUUGAUGGACUGUGCGAUGACACUCACACAAAGUCCUUGAGAAUAAAACACACACACACCAUGAAGAGAGUAAAACAAAUACACAAGUACACAAAGAUUUAUAAAGGUUUGGCCUUCUGCCUACGUCCUCUUGGUGAUCCACCCGAGAAAUUCACUAGUACGUAAGAACAACUUUGGUUACAACUAAACCCCCUUAGCUUUCAUAAGAACCCUAGAUCUCUUUUCUCCCACCCUUGCUCCAACCCUUUGAUGCCCUUGUAAACACUCAAGAAUUCACCCUUGAAUUCUGUCAUGUGUUACAUCUUCUCUUCUCCCCUUUGUUAACCUAACCCUAAAAGUUAUAUUUAUAAUUCAUAGGACUUUAAGUACAAGUUAACUAGGAAUAGGAAACAUAAUAGACCUCAAAAAUUGGAGAAAAUAUGUUUAGAUCUCGUUAGGAAAUUGCACAACACGUGCGAUCCGCUCGAGCGCCUGCAAAAUGAUCCCUUUGUCGCUCAAGCUGCCGAUAGCUCAUGGGAUGGGGGAAUUAGAGAUUUUUUUUUUUUUCAAUUUUAAUUGUUUAAAAGAUAUACAAUUUUUUAAUAAUAAUUUUUCCAUUUUUAAAAUACCCUUGAAAAUAGAAAGAUUAAAAUGCCCUUAAAAAUGGAUGGAAAAUUGGAUUGCGUUAAGGUCAGUUGACAAAUCAUGGAUUUUGAAAAAUUAAGGUAACAUUUCUCUUAAAUUUUUCUUUAAAGUGACAAAUUAAAAUUGAGGUAUAAGUUCAAGUUACAUUUAUGCAAAAAUCCUUAUACAUUAUGAUAUUCUAACAAUAAAAUUGGCUAAAAUUGAUAUGUUCCCUCUUUAUUUUCUUUUUCUCUUUUCCUUUUCAUUUUAUGAUCCAAUCCUUUUCAUAUAUUUUUGUUCAAGACUUUGUUUUAGAAUGCUCUAUUACUAAUUUGGUACAGGUCCCUAAAAUCUCGGAGCCGCCUUAGUACAUUCAUAAUGUACAUGUUCAGAGUUCAAGAAUAAUGUAUAGAAUGUGAAAUUGACGAUGCCGGCCUUUAUGAGGCAACGUCUUUAUUUCUUUGGUUAUUACAGUUUAGAAUAUUUGCACAAAUGAGAUGAUUCCAAGCAUAAAGUCACAUUCGACCAAAAAGCAUGAAGUCACACACAAAAAGAACACGGACAAUUGCUAAGUUUAUCCUUGUACCCUUAUUUUAUUGAUCCGACCCAAUUGAAAAUUAAAAAAAGAUGAUAAAAAAUAUUGUUCACUACUUUAAAAUCUAUGAGUAGAGUCCUCCAUUUGAAAUUUCGUCAUUAUACAAAAUUGGAAUGAAAAAAGAAAAUCCUACAGCUAAAUUUGAUAUAUUUCCUUUUCAUUUUAUGCUGGGUGUUAGGGCUUGUCAAUGGGCCGGGCUAGGCUAGCCCGGCUCAAAUUUAAUGGGCUUGGGCUAGGCCGGGCCAAGCUUUAAAGAGGAGAGAGAAAAUAUCCGGCCGAGUUUUUUAAGAAAAUUCAAAGCCCAAGCCCGAAUCACUGCUGUCUAGCCCGGCCCAAAUUUAAUGAGCUUGGGCCAGGCCGAGCCAAGCUUUAAAGAGGAGAGAGAAAAUAUCCGGCCGAGUUUUUUAAGAAAAUUCAAAGCCCAAGCCCGAAUCACUGCUGUCAUUUCAUUGAUUUGUGACGAGCACAACCACCAAAUCAGAAUUUACUCACGAAAAUAUCAAGUAUGUCUAGCAAAUUUCAAUUUUGAAUAAUACACAAUUUCAAAAGGAGGACAUGUUGCAAGACAGCAUACCUUCUCUUGGGGUGCUUUUCAUUUUGCAACAUUUCUUUACGUGUAAUUUCCAGAGGAGGGUUUAUCAUUGUAUAUAGCUUUUCGGGUGGUUUGUCUACAAAACAAAUGUCACAAAGAAGGAGGAGAAACGGAAAAGAUUUACUUGGAAUGUCUCAAGUCUCCUUUGAGAUAAAGGCAUCGAAUGCACAACAUUGCUUUUGUGCUAUUUCAUAAUUAAAGUGUGCUUCCCAAGUCUCCUUUGUGUUUUGUAACUUGUAAUGUUUGUUUUUUUGUUUCCCCUGUUUUCCCUCUUAUAAAAGAAAUACAGGUCCAAACCACACGGAUCUACUUGCAUAAUAAUGGACCAAAUUUAUGAUUUUUAGAAAGAACCUUCUGCCGGUGGAAUCUUGGGCUACUGUUGUGGCUCUCCUCUGUGUGCCUCCUUUUUAGAACGGUAAAAUAUUCAAAAUACUAGAAAAUGUUCGUGAUUAAUAUAAAUAUUAAGAAUUGAAAUUAUUAAUUAAAUGAGGAUAAUAUGGUAAAUUCACACUUUUUUAUAUUAAAAAAAUUAAAAUUAAAAGAAAAAUCAGAUAAUUGAUAUUAUUUUUAUGGAACACAGCUACUCAUUAUCUUUUUUAAUUCUAAAAUAAAUUUAAAUUAAAGAAAAAAACCCCUCUCACAGGCACGGAAGCGCGUGCUCAGAGGCUAGUUAAAAAUAAUGAACUUUGCUUCUGAAGACGUCUAUACCAGACCCACUCAACCUGCUUUAUGAUUAUACAAAGAACAAACUCGUCCUUAGACUCAUUUGGUUAAACUUAGAAAAUAAUGAAACAAAAAUAUGCACUCCCACAAGUAACACAGCCAGGAUUGAAAACAACUGGACAAAGAAAGGCAUGUUAAAACAGAAUUUUCAACAACUCAUCACCAUUAGACAAGAAAAAGAAAAAUCAAUACAAAAACAGAAAGAACAGAGAAUAAAUGUGGUGGAAGAAAAACGUUGAAGCCAUUUGUGAAUCCAACAACACUACCACUCUGUUUCUCUCCUUUUGUUCAGGCGGAUCUGCAUAUAUCCUAAGGCGUAUUACGGAAACAACUUCUUGCCGUUAUACUUGAAUGUUGUGGAUGCUUCAACGUUGCCAUCUGGGUGGAGUGGAUUUGUCCAAUUCACCUUCACUAUGGUAUAUACGUCCAAAUUGUUGUUAUUUGAAAGGCUUCUAAAUUUUAACAUUUUGAUUUUUAAAUUUUGUUUAAAUAUUUCGGCCCACUUAGUUCUUCUCAAAAUAUGUCAUCAAUAUCGUUGAAAGGUUGAACUUAGUGAAUUAUUAUAGUGCAGUACUGUAGAAUAGACACAUGAUAUAAUUUGUCCACAUGUUAUAAUAUAAGUAAAUAUUUAUUGAUAUUAUUUCUAAAAAUAAGAAAUAUCAACCAUUAUAUCCUCCCAUAUUAUAAUACAUAUACAAAUUAUACCACAUUAUCAUACUCUAAUACCAUUUUAUAAUUUCUCGUACUUAGAGCGAGUCAAUGACAUUACAUAAUAUAUAAUUGUUCAUAUAAUGGGGCAACUAACGUGAUCAACAAGUUGUGGUGAUUAAUUUAACAUAAUAAAAAAUAUACCAUUUACUUGAGUGAUGUAACAAUUUGUUCUUUUAAAUUGGAUUGCCAUCACUUUAAUAUGAUAUGUUUCUUAUUAUAGUGUCCCAUGUUAAGUGCUUCAGCAUUGUUUGUGGUGUGUACACAAAUUUUCUUAUAAAAUGUUUUAAUGCUUCUCACAUGUAUAUCAGAUAUAGACAGUUGAUGUGACUUAGAAAUCAAAUUGUCAAUAAAGCAAAAAAAUAUAAUUGGUGAUUGAGGUCCAAUUUAAUAGAAAAUAGUCUUAACUUGUAUAUUAGAGGUUUCAGAUUCGAAUCCUCACUGCAUUAUUGUUGUAUACGUACACGAGAAAUCCUCUUCUCCAAUAAUUUAGACUAUCACUUAUACUAAAAAAAUAUAUAUAUAUAAUGACUUUUACGGAUGCAAACAUAAAAUUACACCAAACAAUAAUGGAAUAGAAAGAUGCAAGUUAUUUUUUUUUUUUUUACAUCUAAAGUAUACUUUAUAUAUAUAUUUAUUAUGGGUGUUAUAACCGUUUAAUUUUCAGUUUUUAUUUUCUAUUUAUUGUUUUAAUUUUUAUGGUUUAAUGUGUAUGAAGAUUACAAGUAUUGGAUGUCUACCACUCCUCCUUCACAUCUGAAACAAACCACCAUCUCAUUUCUGUAUUUUCAUACUUUCAUAUAUUUUCUACUUUCCAGAUUAUUAUUUUUGGGCAACGGUUCUGUGACUUGCAGAUUUCUAUCCGAUUGUUAACAUGCUCAUAGCGGACCUUGAGCUUGCGUAUUGGGGAUCGUAUCUUGGAGCCUUAUAGACCUUUAUUACCUGCAUGUAGGGAGGUUAUAAAUGCUUUAGGUCAGCAUCUUUGACGUGCUUUUGCUUUCUUUUUUUUUUUACUUAUUUCUUCGUUUCUUUAUUUUUACUUUACUUUUAAAUUUUUAUUUUAUGUAUUAUUUAUAUUUAAAAGUUUUGAAUAAGAGUUUUACAGAAAAGGAAAAACACAAUUUCAAAUAACACAAAUUUCUCGUUUUUGGUUCUUAAAAUAAAUGAAUUUUUUACUUAUUUGUGAACUGAAAUGCCUCUAAAAAAAUAAUGAUAGUUUGAAGAAUUUGAUAGAAAUUAAAAAAUAUCCUCAAAUUACUUGGAAUUGAAGACCACAUAGGCAAAAACACCAUUUUGGACAAAGGCUGGUGAUAAUAGUCGAUAUCAUCUUUAAGUACUUUAAUAUGAUAUGUUUCUUAUUAUAGUGUCCCAUGUUAAGUGUUUCAGCAUUGUUUGUGGUGUGUACACAAAUUUUCUUAUAAAAUGUUUUAAUGCUUCUCACAUGUAUAUCAGAUAUAGACAGUUGAUGUGACUUAGAAAUCAAAUUGUCAAUAAAGCAAAAAAAUAUAAUUGGUGAUCGAGGUCCAAUUUAAUAGAAAAUAGUCUUAACUUGUAUAUUAGAGGUCUCAUAUUCGAAUCCUCACUGCAUUAUUAUUGUAUGCGUACAUGAGAAAUCCUCUUUCCUAAUAAUUUAGACUAUCACUUAUACUAAAAUAUAUAUAUAAUGACUUUUACGAAUGCAAACAUAAAAUUACACCAAACAAUAAUGGAAUAGAAAGAUGGAAGUUUUUUUUUUUUUUCCUACGUCUAAAGUAUACUUUAUACAGUCCCGAUCUCUUGGACCACAGGAGUCCAAGAGAUUGUGGUCACCCACCGUUGGAUAUUAAUCCAAUGGUUCAAAAUGAUAUAUAUAAAUGCAAUAUGACAUAAAUGAUUAUUACCCGAUCCAAGUCAACCGUUGAAUUUACAUUCAACGGUGGGUGACCAUAAAUCUCUUGGACUACAGGGGUCCAAGAGAUCAGGACUGAUACUUUAUAUAUAUAUAUAUAUAUAUUUAUUUAUUAUGGGAGUUAUAACUGUUUAGUUUUCAGUUUUUAUUUUCUAUUUAUUGUUUUAAUUUUUAUGGUUUAAUGUGUAUGGAGAUUACAAAUAUUGGAUGUCUAUAAAGGGCCACUCCUCCUUCACAUCUGAAACAAACUACCAUCUCAUUUCUGUAUUUUCAUACUUUCAUAUAUUUUCUACUGUCCAGAUUAUUAUUUUUGGGCAACGGUUCUGUGACUUGGAGAUUUCUAUCCGAUUGUUAACAUGCUCAUAGCGGACCUUGAGCUUGCGUAUUAGGGAUCGUAUCUUGGAGCCUUGUAGACCUUUAUUACCUGCAUGUAGGGAGGGUACAAAUGCUUUAGGUCAGCGUCUUCGACGUACUUUUGCUUUCUUAUUUCUUCGUUUCUUUAUUUUUGCUUUACUUUUAAAUCUUUAUUUUAUGUAUUAUUUAUAUUUAAAAGUUUGAAUAAGAGUUUUACAGAAAAGGAAAAAUACAAUUUCAAAUAACACAAAUUUCUCGUUUUUUGUUCUUAAAAAAGAAGAAGCAUUGAUUGGGGAGUUAUGGUAAACUCAAUUUCAAUGGUUGCGAUGAGAGGCGGUGGCGGCGAGGAGAGGACGAAGGCUUUGCUGCCGACGGGGUGGUGUGGGUGGGUGGAGACCUCGGCUGGCUGCUUGGUCCUGGGUUCUCCUUUAAUUCUCUGUUUUCUUUUUUCUUUUUCUUUUUCUCUUAGAGUUAUUGAUGUUAAGUGAAUGGACAGAUGCCAAAAUAGGGACAGAAGUAGGGGUGGGCAUCAAUCCGGCCGAUCCGGUCAAUCCGGCCGAACCGAUUAUAUUGGAUUGGUUUGGUUUGGUUUUGACCAAAGAAAAAGUCAACAUUUUGAAAAACCGAACCGAACCGGUUUGGUUUGGUUCAGCUGUGGUUUGAGAGUUUUAAAAACUGUCCUAAACCGAACCGGACCGAUUAUAAAUCAAUUUAUUAUUUAUUUAAUUUAGUUUACAUGUGGCAAGGUUUGUGUGCGUUUUGUGAGUCCGCGUAUCUGAAUGUUGGUGCACGUUUUGAUCUUCUAAUUUGCAUAUCCCAGUUAUUUGUGUGUGCUUGUAUUUCCCUCUCUUUCUAUCUCUACUAUGUGUGUUUGCUCUUUGUGUUGUGUGGCUCUUCUUACUCUAUCUAUCUUAAUUAAUGGGUCCAUUUCAUAAUUUCAUACGCAUUCAAACUCCACCUCUGUGAUAAAAACAUUUACCUCUUUGUGAUAAAAGCUUUUCAUUUGUUUGUAUUUCUCUUUGGCUUUUUGACUCACUCACUGUCUUUCUUUCUUUUAAUGCUACUUGUGAUGAAUGCAAUGAGUAAAUUUAAUGCUACUUGGUUAAUGCAAAUUUUGUAUAUGUUUGUUUUGAUGGAAAUUGUGAACUUAGAUGCAUGCUAGACAUUGGACAACCUUUGAAUAAAUGGAAUGAUGUUGUAUUAGCCUUUGAUGGAAUGAAAUGAAAUGAUAUAAUGGCAAAAUGUUAGCAUUAUAAUGUAAGAGCAGGUUGAAAAAUGCAUGGUUUUGUGUUAGGCACAAACCGGCCGAACCAAUCCGAACCAAACCGAUUACAAGUGGUUUGGAUUGGUUCGGUUUCCAUUAUGAUUUUAGGCUAAUCCGAACCAAACCGGACCGUUAUUUUCUUAUUGGUUCAGCUGUGGUUUGAGAGUAAAACCGAACCAAUCCGGACCGUGCCCACCCCUAGACAGAAGAUGUGAACCCAAUUAUAUACAGCUGAUUACAUAAAGUAACAAAUUAAUUAAUACUUGAGUGGAGGACAGGCUUGAGUGGAAGAAUUGAUUAAGGCUUGAGUGGAAGACCAACUUCAGUGGAGGAAAGUAUAGAUAAGGAAAGCAUGCCUCGUUUAACGGCUUUAUCUAAUAAAGAUUAGUUGUUGGCACUUGGAGUUUCUUAGGAAUGCUGGUUUUGUUUCCUUGGUGGACUUGAAAGGUGGUGCGUUGGCUCGGACAUCUCCCUAGUAAUUAAUCGAAGGUGGAAUCUUACAAGACAUACAGCUGCUCAUUAGCUGAAUAUCUCGCUCUCUUUAAAGAGAUCGAAGCAAACUGCAAUUUGCAAUUUGUGUGAUUCAAGCAUGAAUAUCUGAUAUAGUAACUAUACCAUUUGUUGGUUUGAUAAGAAAAGUUUGGUUAGCGAGGAUGAAACCAUAAAGUUCUCCAAAACACACAAAAAACACGAACAAUUGCUAAGUUUAUUCUUGAGUUCACACAUAUUUGUACAAAUGAGAUUACUCCAAGCAUGACUAUACCAUUUGUUGGUUUGAUAUGAAAAGUACGGGCAACGAGGAUAAAACCAUACAAACACACACAAAGAACGUGGACAAUAUACUAAGUUUAUCUUUGCGUUAUUGAUCCGACCUAACUGUAAAAUAAAAAAGAUAAAAAUAUAUAAUGUUCACUACUUAGAUCUAUGAGCACUAAAGUCCUCCUUUUGAAAUUGCACAAAACAUCACUUUUGGUCUUUGGUAAAUUUUUAAAAUAAAUGAAUUUUUUACUUAUUUGUGAACUGAAAUGCCUCUAAAAAAAUAAUGAUAGUUUGAAGAAUUUGAUAGAAAUAAAAAAAUAUCCUCAAAUUACUUGGAAUUGAAGACCACAUAGGCAAAAACACCAAAUUGCAACCUCACUUUAAUGAUAAAAAUGGUAAACUACAAAGACAAAAAUGACGUUUUGCCUUAUACAUAAUUGGAAUUUGCUGGUGAUAAUAGUCUACCAUCUUUUGUCGAUUUGCUGGUGAUAAUAGUCUAUCAUCUUUUGUCGGUCCGACCUAAAAAGAAGAAAAAGUUGAUGGCAUCUUGUACCAUUUUUGCCAAUGUGGGCCCAAACAAUUUGAAGAAGUCCACCGGCAAUUUCUCAAAAGCUAUUGUGUGAGUGUGAAGCUAAACCAAUAUUAUUUUGCAUAUACGACUCCACAUCCCCAUGUGAUGUGAGGCUACAAAAGUGUUUCCAAAACGAAAUAUGAUAUUUCAAAACGAAGCUAUGUAUAGAGUCAUUUGUAUUUGCUUUCACAAUAACAUUUGAUUUGUGAAAGCAUUUUAUAUUUAUACAUUCUGAUAUUCUAACAAAUAAAUUGACUAAAUUUGGCCAACAGGAUUUAGCCGAAUAGAAAAGUCCUUAUUUAUAGACUAGUGGUUUCAAAUUUAAAGUUUAGACUAUCGCAUGUAUUUAAAAAAAAAAAAACAAUUGGCUUAAUUUGAUAUAUUUCCUUUUUUUCCUUUUUCAUUUUAUACUGGGUGCCGUUAUUAAGUUUUAUCCUUAUUUUUUGUUGAAAAGAAAAUUGAAAAAAAAUAAUAAUUCCUACAGCUAGCAACUUCUCCACCUUCCCUUCUUCGCAACUAGGGAUGCCAUUGCAAGGUCACCAUCUCAGAUUAAGUCCUCCUUUUAAAAUUGUGUCGUUAUUCAGAAUUGGAAUAUAAUCCUGUACCACUUUGGCCACUUUUGAAGAUGUUCACCGACAAUUUCUCAAAAGCUAUUAAGCUGUACAUCCACAAUAUUAUUGCAUCCAUCCCCAUGUGAGGCUACAGAAAAAUUUUGAAAACGAAACUGGAUAUUUUAUCUCUAACAACAGCUUUCAUACUUCGUUUACCCUGUGUUUCCAAGUUGUGCUAGCUAUUUGCAAACCUUGGAAUAUUACUUCAUCCAAAUCCCUUGCAGAGAAGAGCAAGAUAUGGCUUUGAUCGGAGAAGCCCUCAUCUCCGCUACCAUCCAGACGUUUUGUGACAAAAUUGCUUCGCCUGAGUUCACCGACUUAUUUCGGCAGAAAAAGCUCGAUGAACAACUCCUCAACAAGCUGAAGACGACGCUGUUGACCUUGUCCGUAGUGCUUAAUGAUGCAGAGGAGAAGCAAAUUAAGGAACCUUUAGUGAGAGACUGGCUUGACAAUCUCAGACAUAAUGUCUUGGCUGCGGAGGACUUACUGGAUGAGAUCGACACUGAAGCUUUGCGAUGCAAGCUGGAAGAAGGUGAAGGUCAAACCCACAAUUUAACCAAGAAGGUACGUGAUUUUUAUCAACGCAUGAAUGUUGAGAUGAAAGAUUUAUUAGAAAGAUUAGAACAAUUUGUACAAGAGAAAAGUGCUCUUGGUUUGAGAGAAGGUGCUGGGAGGAAGGUUUCACAAAGAAGAACAACUUCCUUGGUUCAUGAACCUUGUGUCUAUGGUAGAGAUGAAGUCAAAGAAAAUCUGUUACAAAGAAGAGGAUUUGCCGUCAUCUCUUUCUCAUCUGAGUAUCUCGCGGUGUCCUGCCCUGGAGAAAAGGUAUAAGAAUAAGACGGGACAAGAUUGGGCAAAGAUAUCUCACAUUCCUUGCAUCAAGAUAGGAUACGAACUGAUCAUAUAAUAUGAGCUAUUCCAUAUUUCACUCUCAACCCUCAACUCUCAAAUCAAAGUCAGGUGAGGUAUGUGCCUUCUCUUACUUUAAAAAACUGCUUCUCUUCUUCUAAUUGAAUACAAAAACCAAAACACAUAUUCUCUUUCUCUUCCAAAAACCCAAAUACAUGUUGAACAUUGCCAAAUUUGAUCUCCAAAUUCCUAAUUAUUUCACGCUUUUUGUUAUUUUGUUGCUUAGUAAAUUAUGGUUGCUGGUCACAAAUUAUAGUCUGUUAAUAGGUUCAUGCCAUGAAUUAAUCUUUGGACUUUCCCAGGUACUGCAGGUUUGUUAUUAAUGUUGUGGCCUGAUAUUCGUCGUAUCAAUAGGUUGUCUUACGUUGAGGAGAGAGAUCGAUCAGCAAUUACAAAAUUGUUAGUGAAUUUAGCUUGUUUAUCAUCUCUCUCCUUUUGUUUGUUAAGUUUGGUUGUUCUAGGUUAAACCCUUGUCCCCGCAUUUCACAGCAACUCUAUGUUAUUCCACUCUGUUUAGUUUCAUUUAUGUUGUGAUUCGACUGCUGCUGUAUUUUAGAUUUCGUUCAUGUAAUGCUAGGAUGUUUAAUCUCUUAUCUGUGGUGGUAGUUGAGUAGUCUAGCUAAUCCAAUGAUAACUUGUCCCCUGUUUUGUAUUGUUUUUAUUUCUCUGGUAAUGAAAGCACGUUUCUUAUAAAUAAAUAAAAAAUAUUUCAUUGAUAUUCAUUGCUUAUUUUGAACUGCAGAAGCCUACUUUUGUCAGAGUCAGUAGAUGCCAGAAUGAAGUCAUUGCCUAAACACAUUGGCACCCUCACAGCCUUCGACAUUUUGGGAUAUAUGAUCUUCAAAAUCUUGUGUCAUUUGCCUCCCAACCUGCAAUAUUUUCAUAUUUUAAAUUGUGACAGACUGAGCCCUUUGGUGGGAGAUUACUGGGGUUUGCAAGGACUUGGUGGCAAUAUCUUGUAGACGUUUCUCAAGGAACAGCUGCUCAAUACCACUCUUCACACUCUAUAUAUUAUGGCCUGUCAGUCUAUAAUUCCUGCCAGGAGAGGAACUUGAACGCCUCUCUUCGCUGCAAAGGCUACAUAUUUGUGGGUGUGACAAUAUCCAAUUCCUGCCAGAAGAGUGUUUGCUGCCAUCUCUUUCUUAUCUGUGCAUCAACCAUUGUUUUGCCAUGUAGAAAAGGUAUCUCACAUUCCUUGCGUCAAGAUAGGCGAAGAAGUGAUCAUAAGAUAUGAGCUCUCUCUCCCUCUCGCUCACAUACAAUGUACUUAACACAAACACUCAAUCUGAUUUCUAUUAUUAUUUUGCUCAGUAAAUUUUGUUUAAAUUUGCUUUAUUUCUCAUUGCACUUGUUCUGCUGAUCACAACUUAUAUCCUAUUUAAAUCUCAAAUGCUGAAUAAUGAGCAGUCUUUUCGCAGGACAACAUAUCUUCUCUUGGAGAGCUAUUCAUUUGCAAGGUUUCUUUAUGGGUCAUUUCCAGAGGAGGGUUUACUAUUUAAUAGAAAGGUUCACCUGGAAUAUCUCAACUGACACAUUCCCAAAUACAGGCAUUGAAUGCACAACAUUUUGAGGUACUAUUUUUGUAAUAAAAAUGUACUUGAGUCUCAUUUGAGCUAGUUUAAAUUGUAUUCAAUGUCUAUGGAUAACCUGUGAGCUUAAGUUGUAAGAUAAAACUCACAGUAUAUUAUUAGGGUUUAGGGUUCAACUGUUCAACAGGUGAGCUUAAGUUGUACUUUCCUAGGUACUGCAUGUAUAUAAUCUUAGUAUCAACACUUGGUCUUAUGUGGACAAGAGAGAACAUUUGAGGAAUUACAAAAUCUUCUUAGUGAAUUAAUGUUGUUUCAGCUCUGUUUGUCAUCCCUCACAUUUUCUUUGUUAAGCCUUGAUUUUUUAUUAGACAUAAGAAAAAAUGCUUUUAUAAGACAGGAGAUGAAUGCUUUUAUAUGUUGAUGUCGUAGUCAGUCUUCAACCACACUCUGUUUUUAGAAUUCAUUUAUGUUACUAGUUGAGUGCUGCUGUAUUUUAUAUUUCGUUCCUGUAAUGUUUGGAUGUUUAGCUUGAGCAGUCUAGCUUAUCCAGUAGAUAACUUGUUCCCUGUUUUGUAAUGUUUUUGUUUCCUCUAAUGAAAGCAGGUUUUACUUAUCUUGAACUGCAGAAGCCUACUUUUUGACAUAGGUGGCAUGGCACAAACUCGCAUCCGCAUUUCCUUCCCCAUUGGCAUGCUGUCUCAUCUUUUGUAUUCUGUUACCAGCUUGAAGCUUGUGUAGACAUGUUAUGCUCUUGUAAUUCUGAUCACAAACAUCACUUGACAAAUGGAAAGUCACAAUCAGAUCUUUCAGGUGAUCGGGAGGUUUACUUUCUAACAUUUGUUUUCAUUGGGGGGAGGACAACAAUACAGAAUUUAAAAUUUCUGAUAAUCAAUAGUAGUUUGCAUAUAUCAGCUGGGACCUGUAUGACUGUAUUAUGUAAUUAAUUAUUUCUCUUAUUGUUUUGGUACUGUUAAAAGGAGUUAGCCACAAAAUAAAAAAGGAGGCCUCUUAUUUCAUACAAUUUUUCAAAAGUGAUCAUUCAUCCGUUUCUUUUUCAACAAUAGAGGAAUGUAUACUAAUCGUCUGGUCCAUCUGCUGCUUCACUCCCUAGUAGCUUCAUCUCCUGUCCUUUGCUUUAUUUCUGUUGAUGAAUGUUUUGUCUGGGUUAUUUAUUUUCAUUUCAUGUCCAUUGCUUCAUUUCUGUUUGGAUUCUGUCCUGGACUUGAACAAGGGUUAGGUUAGCUGUAUAAUUUGCGGUUUUAUAUACACAACUGUCUACAUUGAUUAAAACCAGCAUUAUUCUAAGGUUCAUUUAGAAUGUAUUAUCACCAAAAUUAUAAAGUAUACUUCUAUUACAAUUAAUUUGUUGAUUCUAAUUUGGACUUGUAGGAACAGACCAAACAUGUUCAUACGUGGCAUUGCUCAAGUCAUCAUCAUUCGGGACAGAGAAUAAGCCUUCAAAUGUCUGCUGAGUCAAUGAACCUUUCUAGAUAUCUCAAGUGUAGUGGAAAUUGAUGAGUUACAAAGGAUUUUUAAACAUUUUCUACUGGAGGCUAGAAAUGCUUCAAAUAAAUGACUGUGUUGCAAUUAUUUUGUAGGAUCAAAGACUCUGCAAAGAGGUAAGAAAGUCAUCAUCAAGUAACUUUGCUCUUCAAACUUUUUAAUUUUAUUUUUAAAUAUCAGUAAUAACUGGGAAAGUUUGCAUUUCCUUAAAUUGCUCAUUCUUACAUCUUUUAUAGUUUGUUGAUCUUGGGCAAGUGGAGAGAGAGGCGUCAAGUGAUACACAACAACCAUUUUCUGUGAGCUGAUUUGAUAAAGAGAAAUGGUAUGCUUUCUUGUCUUAAGCGGUGUGUUCUGCAAUUAUUUGAAACAAAGGAUGCCGCACUUCAAGUUCGAGAAAAUCAGGUAUUUUAGUAUUUUAUUCUGGAGAAAUUUGAUUUAUGUAGAAACUUGAACAUGUAAAUGAGAGAAAAAAAAAUUUAUAUAUAUAUAUAUUAUAUUGUAUAUGCUCUUAAUGAGUUAAUAUGGUGCUUGCUCCUGGUUGGAAAUUUAUGUAGUCAUCUACCUAUGAUCAAAUAAAGAUGAAAAAUAAAAUAAAAUUGAGAGCAUCUUCCUCUCCCCUGCUUUGCUCAUCCCUUGUUCUUCCACUUCAGCCCCACUAUUACACCAUUUUUUCAGCCACAAUUAUAAUAGCUCCAUGAGCAUUAAGUCCUUUUCAAAUUCUGCUGACAUUCAAAAUUGGAAUUGCUGGUGAUAUAUGAUAGCAUCCUUGUCCGACCAAAAAGAAAAAAAAAAAAAGUUGAUAGCAUAUUGUACCAUUUUGGCCAGUGUACGCAAUAUUAUUGCAUCCAACUUUGCAUAUUAACAUCAGUGGCCACAGUUCCAUGAUUUGAGUGCACAGAAAGGUUUCAAAAGUUGUCCCACAAAGAACAGUCGUUCAAAGUGAAAGAGAGUUUUCAAAGCUUAGUUACAAGUUCAUGUUAUUUACAAUAUCAAAAAGCUUUCAUACUUGCUUACAAACCUGUAUUUCCAAGUUCUGCAAACCUUGGAAUAUCACUUCAUCCAAAUCCCCUUCCAAAGCAGGAAAAAUGGCAGCAGCUUUGAUUGGAGAGGCUCUCAUCUCUGCUUCUAUCGAGUUGUUGUGUGACAGAGUUACUUCAGCCGAGUUCAUAGACUUAUUUCAGCAGAAGAAACUUGAUGAAACACUCCUCAUGAACCUGAAGACGACACUGUUGAUUUUGUUUGCGGUGCUCAAUGAUUCAGAGGAGAAGCAAAUUGUGAACCCUGCUGUGAGAGAGUGGCUUAACAGCUCAAGCAUGCUGUCUUUGAUGCAGAGGACUUACUUGAUGAGAUUGACACUGAAGCUUUGCGAUGCAAGCUGGAAGGUGAGGAUGAAACCCACAAUAAUUAACCAAAAAGGAUCUUUUUGAUUGUUUGAAAGGAGGGUCUUGAUGAUUUGAAAGGAGAGGGUUGCUUUAUUUCUGUUGGAUGCUUAAUUAAAUCUUAUUUGGAGUUGAACAAGGAUUAGGUUAGCUGUAUAAUUAGUGGUAAACGCCUUUUUCUAAGGGUCAUUUAGACUCAUAUUACGAUUAAUUUGUUGUUUCUAAUUUGGACUUGUAGGAACAGACCAAAUAUGUUCACACGUGGCAUCGCUCAAGUCAUCAUCAUUUCAGACUGAAAAUCAGCCUUCAAGUGUCUGUUGAGUCAAUAAAACUUUCUAGAUAUAUCAAGUGCAAUGGAAAUUCAUGAGUUACAUAGAGAUUUGUAAACAUUUUGAAGAUUGCAACACCUGCAAGUGAGAUAGGCGGUGACGAAAUCAGAGAUGAAGCCUCUGAUGCCCCUGUUGUUGCAAGUUGCACCUGAGAACAUGUUUUUUUUUCUUCUUUGGGGUAAAAAACUGGCAACAUGUUCGGAGCUGACAAUUCAAUCCCUGAUGAACUAGAGAAGCAAAGCUCCGGUAAGGAAAUUGGUCAAGGUUGUGACAGGGAUGAUUGAUGGUGAAAUGGAUGCUAUUUCUUAUUGCAGCCUGUUCUUAAAGUUCUUGUUGGCAAAUGCAAGAGAUGGAGUAUUUUGAUUGGGAGGAGAGAUAAUGACAUGGCUUGACAAUUCUAGAACAGCCCAUCAUUAAUCCCAGAAAAAAUCCAGUUUCUGCUAAACAAUCACUUAUGGCAAGGCCAACUCUGUAAAUGGAAUUUGUGAUCCCUUCAAAUUGUACACAUUUUUUCUUUUUGAGGAAUUUAAUCAAACAGUAUUCUAAUGCAUUAUGAUGGCACUACACGCUUUUGUUGUAACAAAUUACAAGGAGGAAUUUGGAUUGAGUUUCUUGUAUAAGCACACCUUACACAAAUUUCGUAUAUUUUCUUCCAGCAAGUCUGUCUAUUAAACCCCUUAUUUGAAAUUAAUUGUUAUAAGUUUUGAUUCAUCUUUAAUCAGUGUCUUCCCCUUGUUGAAUAACACUCCUCUUUCUAAUUUAUAUUUGAAGUUUGAGGUUUCAAUUUCAAUUGUGGGUUUUGAUUUUACAGAUUUUGUUUGUCAAUUUCAGUUUGGACAAAGCAUAUGCAAUCAAAGUAAGCAUUUUAUGUUAUACUUUUGAACUAGGUGUUGAUUUGAUUUAAUCAUAAGUUUUGCUGGUGCAUUUACUAGGCUAAUCAUUCAAUACUUUUGAUCAUAGAACUUCUUUGGUUGAUAUUAUCUUUGUUAAGUUUAACCAUAACUUUAGAGAGGGGACUUAACAGAUUUAUAAUCUCAUCAUUAUAGUAUUAAAAAUUAGAGAUUAUUUAAGGCAUUGUCUAUUAUCUGAAUUCUGCUUACUUUUAGUUCAUAUGUUUACAUCUUAGCAUAUUCAUGUGAUUAGUGCGGCUCAUACCACAAAGGCAAUUUUAGGCUCAUCAAGUGCUAAGCAAUGUCAAGCUUCCAAGUGACAAGUUCUCUACAUAGUUUGAGACCUACACUUACUAGAUAUUAGAUCAUUUGGAUCAUUUCCAUAUGUGUAUAUGUAAUUGACAUGUUAUAACAUUUUUGUAGCGUUAUAUAAUUAUUUAGCAAUUUAAUUAUUUCUUUGCAACUUUAUUUUUUUUGUCAGUCAUACUAUUGUUGACUGCUAAAAACCAUCAAGAAAUAGUUCUUAAGUUAUAAAAAAAAAUUAUAAAAAAAAAGAUUUGUUGAUGCUUAAAAAGCAUCAAGAACAGAUAGUUUCUUGACGGUUUUGUGACGUUUCAUAACUGUAAGGGGCUUUUUCUUUCGACAGCUGUAAAUGGGCUGGGCUGCCGUAAAGGUCAAGACUGAUGAAAUUGUCCCUUUUUGUCUGAGCUCGAAAAUUAUGCCCCAAAAUACUUUGAAAGGGCAGCAGAGCCUUAGGAAGUAUUUUGGUUACCCUCACCAACUAAAACAACAACAACUUACAGGUAAUUUCUUAAUGCUUACAGAUGAACUCUUGUGCUUGGCAUGAGUGACAUGUGGCAUGGAAGCAAAAUCAACAUGAGUUUAGCACUGAGGCGAAAUUUAGGCUCUCUUGGGGGAAAAAGGGAAGUGUUAAGGUGAGAGAGGAGAAGUUUGUAGGAGAUUUAGCUAAGAAAGGAGAAAUAUAGAACAAUGCUCUUCUGGCAACUUGACAGAUGCUCUGUCUGCCAAAAAAGGAAGAUGGAGAAGAAAUGUGAAUAGUGCACGAAUUUGCUAGAUUUUUGCAGGUAAGAGAGGAAGCUUGCCCUAUGGGUCUGAGUUGAGUUUUGUUGGGUGGAAGAGACCUCAUUUUAUAGCCCCUGGAAACCAUCACUUCCCAAGAAACCCUAAUGGCUUCUACCUAUUUUGGCCAAGCUUUUCCCUUCCUUUCUCAUUUCCUUCCUUGAGUUUACCCCUUUUGAUGAAAUCCCAUCUGCCUAUUUGCACCAGAUCAAAGUUUUUUGAAGCUCAAGGCCCCCAUUUUCUUGCAGUUGUCUCAAUGGGAGACUUCCAUUCCCAGUCAUUCUCCUUUAUUGCUUUCCUUUCUUUUUUUCAUGGCCUAGUCUGGUGGGGAAAGGAGUUGGGAUAUAUAUGCUGGUUUGAAGGGUGCUUCUCUUCCUGACAUCUUACACACUAAUACCCCUUGGUUCCUUGAAUGUUUUGGCUUUGAAACUUGCUCCCCCCCUCCCCCCAUGUACUGGAACCUCCCAGCAGCUCUGUUCAAUGAAUUUUCAGACCUUUUCUUCAUGGCUUUUAUUUUUUUAUUAACUGGCUGGAGCUUUUGUGGCUCAUUGUGGCAAUUGUAUGGGCUAAGGUGGUUCAUUAAGUAAGUGAGCUAUUUUUAUUAAACAUUGGGCUUUUUGGUUGAGUCACUAGGCUAUUUUGAUUGGGCUAUUGGGCUAUUUUUUCCUUUCUUGUACUCACCCACAUGUUUGGACCAAAGAAAUGAGCUUGAGUCCUGAGGCUCCCAAGCGACCCGAGACUUUCCAUUUCUCGGCCCAUCAAUGGGCCUCAUGUUGAUUUAUUACCAUCCAUACCACAACCCACUCAAGCAAGCCCCGGGCAUUUGAGUGGCUUGGGCCCACUUAGGCUUGUAGUGUGGUUGGGUGCGAAAUGACGAUUUCGUGCUUGGCAUGUUUUAAUUUUAUCAUCCUUGGGAAAGGCUGCGAUGUUUGAUUUCGGCAUGGGCUUGUAGAGCUGGUAUGCUUUAUUUCAACUCUAGCAUGACGAAUUAUUUAUUUAGCAUGGCACGUGAAUUACAACUCGCAUGGGGUGGGUUUUUGUGUACUACACCUUACGCCUCUUCUUAAUAGAACAUCGUUUUGGGCUGAUAAUUUAUUCGGGCCCAACUGUGAAUUUUUUGGGUCUCAAUAAUAACCAUCAUAAAAUAUUACAUUUUGACUGACGUCAAGAAAUGGGGUAUCCCUUUCCUGAUAGUGGCAUCCAUGAUGCCUUCCAAGCCGUCAAUUAAGGGCUAUCGUGAUGCAUUUUAGUUGUCAGCAAAAGGUGUUUUUCUUGUAUUGUAUUCACUCAAAAUCAUGUUUCAUUUAAGACUAGUAGUAUGGUUGAAUACCAUUUGUUUUGUUAAAGAAUAUUAUACAUUAGGGAUUUUUGUAGAAAUGUCAUUUGAACUUAUACCUUAGUUUCAAUUUGUUACCUUGAAGAAAAAUUUAAGAGAAAUGUCACCUUAAUUUUUAAAAAUCCAUGAUUUGUUAUAUGACUUUAAGAUCAUCCAAUUUUCCAUCCAUUUUAAGGGGAUUUUAGUCUUUUCAUUUUCAAGGAAAAAAAAGAGAUGAAAAAAGAGACAUCUCUCUUACUUUGUUGCCCAACCCAACCCAACCCCACCCGCCCCCCAAAACCACAUAGGAUUGCCUCCCCUUUCCCCACUUUUCUUUUUUCUUUUUGUCCUACUUUUCCACUGUGUUUAUGUUGAAGGAUCUAAAGUUUGCUUGGUCACCAUCUGUUACGUAGGCUUCCCAAUUGUUGGUUUGGGUGGGUUGUGGGAAUUUGUGUGUGGAGGGCAAGACCCUAUCUGACAGGACCUGCCUCGAAUUCCUCGAAACCCGAGACGAAUCUUGUGGAAUUCCCGACAUUACACCGAUGUCGGGCCCACUUAUGAACUAAAUCCUCCUUUCCAAAAUUAAGGAAAAAGAGUACGAGGCUUUCUGCCGAAAUUGCGGCAGUGUCUUCCUUAUAAAUUUAACAUUUCAGCUUUGGUGGCCAUUCUCUCAUUUUAGCUUUGGUGGCCGGAUGAGAGAACGGCCGGCUAAAACGUGGCCAACUGGCAUUGCCGUCGCGAGAGAGGAGAGAGAGAGAGAGAUUUUUAUCAAACCAUUUUUGCCAAAAUUACGAUUAUGCAACUGAGGGUAUUUUGAUCGUAUCUUUUUUGUUAUAACUCCGAUUCAAGCUCACUACAUGCCUAUGGAUUCAUCUCGCCGUGCUUUAUGCAAUUGUAUAGUUGAAAUUCCCAAAUUCCAUCCCAGUCAAAAGUCAACUUUAAACCCUAUAAAAUAUUCUAGGGGAAGAAUGGUCUUUUAUCUAAUUAAAUUAAUAAUUGAAAAUUUAUUUAGGAUCGGGUCGUUACACUGUCGUUGAUGGACUGUGCGAUGACACUCACACAAAGUCCUUGAGAAUAAAACACACACACACCGUGAAGAGAGUAAAACAAAUACACAAGUACACAAAGAUUUAUAAAGGUUUGGCCUCCUGCCUACGUCCUUUUGGUGAUCCACCCGAGAAAUUCACUAGUAUGUAAGAACAACUUUGGUUACAACUAAACCCCCUUAGCUUUCAUAAGAACCCUAGAUCUCUUUUCUCCCACCCUUGCUCCAACCCUUUGAUGCCCUUGUAAACACUCAAGAAUUCACCCUUGAAUUCUGUCAUGUGUUACAUCUUCUCUUCUCCCCUUUGUUAACCUAACCCUAAAAGUUAUAUUUAUAAUUCAUAGGACUUUAAGUACAAGUUAACUAGGAAUAGGAAACAUAAAAGACCCCCAAAAUUGGAGAAAAUAUGUCUAGAUCUCGUUAGGAAAUUGCACAACACGUGCGAUCCGCUCGAGCGCCUGCAAAAUCAUCCCUUUGCCGCUCGAUCUGCCGAUAGCUCAUGGGAUGGGGGAAUUAGAGAUUUUUUUUUUUUCAAUUUUAAUUGUUUAAAAGAUAUACAAUUUUUUAAUAAUAAUUUUUCCAUUUUUAAAAUACCCUUGAAAAUAGAAAGAUUAAAAUGCCCUUAAAAAUGGAUGGAAAAUUGGAUGGUGUUAAGAUCAGAUGACAAAUCAUGGAUUUUGAAAAAUUAAGGUAACAUUUCUCUUAAAUUUUUCUUUAAAGUGACAAAUUGAAAUUGAGGUAUAAGUUCAAGUUACAUUUCUGCAAAAAUCCUUAUACAUUAUGAUAUUCUAACAAUAAAAUUGGCUAAAAUUGAUAUGUUCCCUCUUUUAUUUUCUUUUUCUCUUUUCCUUUUCAUUUUAUGAUCCAAUCCUUUUCAUAUAUUUUUGUUCAAGACUUUGUUUUAGAAUGCUCUAUUACUAAUUUGGUACAGGUCCCUAAAAUCUCAGAGCCGCCUUAGUACAUUCAUAACGUACAUGUUCAGAGUUCAAGAAUAAUGUAUAGAAUGUGAAAUUGACGAUGCCGGCCUUUAUGAGGCAACGUCUUUAUUUCUUUGGUUAUUCCAGUUUAGAAUAUUUGCACAAAUGAGAUGACUCCAAGCAUAAAGUCACAUUCGACCAAAAAGCAUGAAGUCACACACAAAAAGAACACGGACAAUUGCUAAGUUUAUCCUUGUACCCUUAUUAUCCGACCCAAUUGAAAAAUAAAAAAAGAUGAUAAAAAAUAUUGUUCACUGCUUUAAAAUCUAUGAGUAGAGUCCUCCAUUUGAAAUUUCGUCAUUAUACAAAAUUGGAAUGAAAAAAGAAAAUCCUACAGCUAAAUUUGAUAUAUUUCCUUUUCAUUUUAUGCUGGGUGUUAGGGCUCGUCAAUGGGCCGGGCCAGGCUAGCCCGGCCCAAAUUUAAUGGGCUUGGGCCAGGCUGGGCCAGGCUUUAAAGAGGAGAGAGAAAAUAUCAGGCCGAGUUUUUUAAGAAAAUUCAAAGCCCAAGCCCGACCCAUGAGCCCGGCUUGAGAAAGCCCAUCGGGCCGGCCCGGGCCUAAACAGGCCCUACUUCGUUAAAAAAAAAUCAUAAACUUAAUCAUAAGGUCAUUUUAGUCCAAAUUUGAGAUUAAACUCACUUAAUUCCAAUAUUUUCACUUCAAACCAAAUUCAUAAAACACCCAAUAAAGUCACACAGCUUGUAAGAUUUUCCACAAAAAUAAUAAAACCAAGUACUAUUUUUGAGGUUAUUACAUAAUUAGAUCGUAAUAUGUUUUAAGAAAUAAUUUUAAAAAAUAAUAUUAAUAAGUAUCAAAAAAAUAAUUUUUUAAAGGAUGGUAUGAAUAAAUAUGCAAAUAUUUGGUGAUGUGUUCAAGAAAAGGAUGAUUAUAUUUGGUGGUACGAUUAUGUUUCGUGAUAUGAUUAUAAUUAGUGAUGUGAUAUGUUGUUCAUCUUAUAUAUAUAUAUAAUUGUUGAAUUAAUAAUUGACACAAAUUAAUGUGUUAAUCAUCCAAUUAUAAACUAGGAAUGAAUAAAGAAAAGUAAAUGAAAUGAAACAAAUUAUAUAUGUGAUUUAAGUGAUAUAAUCCUAAACCUAAACUCUUAUUUAUACAUAAUUAUAUAUGUAUGCGGGCCUAACGAGCCGGACUUUUGUGGGCGGGUAGGGCCGGGCUUUAUUGGGCUUAAUCGGGCUUUAUUGGACUUAAUCGGGCUGGGCCUAUAGGUCGGACCGAGCUUCAGACAUCCAAGCCCACGCCUAGCCUCGCCCGCCUUGGGCCGGGCCAUUCUUUUUUUGGGGUUCUAUUUCUCUUUGAAUUAACUGCUGAGUUUCAUGAACAUGUCCUCCUUUUGAAAUUGUGUAUUAUUCAAAAUUGGAAUUUGCUGGACAUACUUGAUAUUUUCGUGAGUAAAUUCUGAUUUGGUGGUUGUGCUCGUCACAAAUCAAUGAAAUGACAGCAGUGAUUUUGCAAGACAGCGUACCUUCUCUUGGGGUGCUUUUCAUUUUGCAACAUUUCUUUACGUGUAAUUUCCAGAGGAGGGUUUAUCAUUGUAUACAGCUCUUCGGGUGGUUUUUCUACAAAACAAAUGUCACAAAGAAGGAGGAGAAGCGGAAAAGAUUUACUUGGAAUGUCUCAAGUCUCCUUUGAGAUAAAGGCAUCGAAUGCACAACAUUGUUUUUGUGCUAUUUCAUAAUUAAAGUGUGCUUCCCAAGUCUCCUUUGUGUUUUGUAACUUGUAAUGUUUGUUUUUUUGUUUCCCAUGUUUUGUCUCUUAUAAAAGAAAGGCUUUUUAUCACAAAUGGUCCUUCAGGUUUACAAAAUUAUCACAAAUCGUCCUUCAAGUUUUUUUGUGACACUAAUAGUCCUUCAGGUUAUCAUUUACCCAUCAAAAUGGUCCUUCUGUCAGUUUCUGUCAAAACUGACGUUAAAUUCCUGUGCUCAGCCUGCUUUUGAAAUGAUAAUCUCAUCUUUUCCACUCAACCUUCAACCAAACUCAACUGUCAGAACCCUUUCCCUCCAUUUCCUCAUGGUCCUUCCAGUUUGGCGCCCCUGUAAUAUAUAACCAAUCUUAAAAAUUAAACUUCUGAAGAAAUUGAAACAAUCCAAGCUCAAGAGAAAGACCAACAAUUGAGAACUGCAGAGAAAGAUCAAACUCAUGGAUCAAUAUGGUAAAGCCAAAUUGAAAAACAUAAUUUGCUAAAGAUAAAGCCAAACUGAAAAACCAAACUGAAAAACAUAAAGAUAUCAUUGACAAAUAUAAAAAGUUAAAAAAUAUUGCACAAUCAAAAUACAACCACAUGUUUCACAAAACAAAACAAAACAACCACAUUUGCAGACAAGCUGUAGUUUACACUUUAACAAAGAUUAAAAAACUAACCUGUAUACUUUGGUUGUUUCCCCCCCUUUCGAAAGAACUCCUCGGACUCAUCCAUCUAGUCACUUUUGUAAGAAGAAUAAUGCGUAUUUGACUCUUACGAACCCAGAUAUUCCUUUUGCAGACCAGCUUUAUCAAUUAAAAACCCAAAAAACCUUAAUUGUGCAGGGCCCGAGGAUGAAAUGGAGGGAAAAGGUUAUAUAUGCGGUUUAGAGCGCCAAAAUGGAAGGCCCGAUGAAGAAAUGGAGGGAAAGGGUUAUUUCAGUUGGGUUUGGUCGAAGGUUGAGUGGAAUGAUGCGAUUAUCAUUUCAAAAGGCAGGCUGAGCACGCGACUUUAACGUCAGUUUUGACAGAAACUAACAGAAGGACUAUUUUGAUGGAUAGAUGUUAAACUAAAGGACUAUUAGUGACACAAAAAAACCUAAAGGAUGAUUUGUGAUAAUUUUGUAAACCUGAAGGACCAUUUGUGAUAAAAAGCCUAAAAGAAAUACAGGUCCAAACCACACGGAUCUACUUGCAUAAUAAUGGACCAAAUUUAUGAUUUUUAGAAAGAACCUUCUACUGGUGGAAUCUUGGGCUACUGUUGUGGCUCUCCUCUGUGUGCCUCCUUUUUAGAACGAUAAAAUAUUCAAAAUACCAGAAAAUGUUCAUGAUUAAUGCAAAUAUUAAGAAUUGAAAUUAUUAAUUAAAUGAAGAUAAUAUGGUAAAUUCACACUUUUUCAUAUUAAAAAAAUUAAAAUUAAAAGAAAUAUCAGAUAAUUACUCUUAUUUUUAUGGAACACAGCUACCCAUUAUCUUUUUUAAUUAUAAAAUAAAUUUAAAUUAAAAAAAAAAUCUCUCUCACAGACACGGAAGCGCGUGCUCAGAGGCUAGUUAAAAAUAAUGAACUUUGCUUUUGAAGACGUCUAUACCAGACCCACUCAACCUGCUUUAUGAUUAUGCAAAGAACAAACUCGUCCUUAGACUCAUUUGGUUAAACUUAGAAAAUAAUGAAACAAAAAUAUACACACCCACAAGUAACACAGCCAGGAUUGAAAACAACUGGAAAAAGAAAGGCAUGUCAAAACAAAAUUUUCAACAACUCAUCACCAUUAGACAAGAAAAAGAAAAAUCAAUACAGAAACAGAAAGAACAGAGAAUAAAUGUGGUGGAAGAAAAACGUUGAAGCCAUUUGUGAAUCCAACAACACUACCACUCUGUUUCUCUCCUUUUGUUCAGGCGGAUCUGCAUAUAUCCUAAGGCGUAUUACGGAAACAACUUCUUGCGGUUAUACUUGAAUGUUGUGGAUGCUUCAACGUUGCCAUCUGGGUGGAGUGGAUUUGUCCAAUUCACCUUCACUAUGGUUAAUCAACUAGACAGACAUAAGUCAGAAACAAUAGGUAUAUACGUCCAAAUUGUUGUUAUUUGAAAGGUUCUAAAUUUUAACAUUUUGUUGUAAAUGUGGAGAGAAAAAGUAGAGAAUUGGAAUAGAGAGGAGAGACUGAUUUUCUCAUUCAUAUGUUCAGAUGAAUGUCUUCAGUGUAUAUUUUACAAGUAGGGGGAGGUAUCUAUUUAUAGGCUAAGGUUUUGGUAAAAUACAGGGAAGGAAAGUUCCUGGAAGAUGCAAGGAAACUUCCUCUGUGGGCUCCACCUUCAAACUUUUACAACACUCCCCCUUGGAGACCACAAAUGAUAUGGAAUAUGCCUCGUUAAAAACCUUGCCAGUAAAAACCCAGUGGGACAAAAACUGGUCAAAGGGAAAAAGAGUACAUAAUGAUGUGUAACAUAAAAUUCUGUGUAUAUUGACGCGCGUGCGACACUGCCUCGUUAAAACCUUGCCAGGAAAAACCCAGUGGGAUGAAAACCUGGACGAAGGAAAAAGAGUACAGUGUUUGAAGAUCUUUAUUGAUAGCAUGCUCCCCCUGAUGCUUGGUAAAAUAUCUUUAAGUCAUACUGUUGAUCACCUUUCUGAAUAUCGUAGUUGACACUGCUGCUGUGAGUCAAUCUUGAGCGACACUGCCUCGUUAAAACCUUACCAGGAAAAACCCAGUGGGAUAAAAACCUGGAUGAAGGAAAAAGAGUACAGUGUAUGGAGGUCUUUAUGAAAAACCACGCUCCCCCUGAAAAAUAUCUCCCCCUAAAAAAUUUCAUGACUAGCUUUUCCAGUAUGCGACCAUAGAAAUUUUCAUAGUAUACUCUAAACCCUUGAGCGACACUGCCUCGUUAAAACCUUACCAGGUAAAACCCAAUGGGAUAAAAACCUGGAUGAAGGAAAAAGAGUACAGUGUGGAGCUGACCUCUAUCUGGUCUAGUAUACUUCCGGAAAAACAUUUAAGGUGUCCAACGGAUAAUCCUCAUAAAAAUGCUUCAAUACUUUCUUAGUAUAAGCAAGAAUCUCGUUGGCAUAAUGCUCGAUCUUUAAGUCGAGACAAAUAUUUCGUGACUUCUGCAGAAGCUUUAAUGUGUUGCAAACACAUUAUAAACAAUGUACUCACUGAGGUAAUUUAUGCAUAUUAAUAUUGAGUACAAAUUUUGUGCUUCAAGCACAUGUCCUUUAGGGACUUGCUUUAUGCAAUGUCAAUCCUCUCAACGGAUUUUGUUUAAAAGGGGAUUAAACUUUAUGACACAUUAUAUAGCUUUAACCCAGCUAUUUAUACAUCUUUAGGGAAUCACUUCAAGUGAUAUGCUCUGUGCAUUUAAUAACCCUUAAAGAUAACAUGUUGGUCUCCGUAAUUGUGCAGUAAGGGGGGAGGCACAAUUGAAUCUGUAAAUAUGGAAAAGACCCAACAUUCAUUGUUUCUGCCAGAAACAUUGUGUCAUACAAAGUAGGUAUAUUCCCUUUUAUUCCGAACACCCAAGUAUAAGUUUCAAUAUUAACAUCUUUUGGGGUUCGUACUGUGGGUUUGUUCUUUCACGUUCAUUCUCAUCUAUAAUGGAAUUACCUCUUUCCAUUUUGGCCAAUGAUAUUGUCGACAUCUAAUAAUUGAACGUGGUUCCAAUCAACACAGCCCAUUGAUGAUUUGAGUAGCUACUCCAAAACCAAAAAUUGUCAUUCAUCAAUUCAUUAUCCCACCAUUCUCAUGUGCAUGCGCAUGCAUCAAUUAUAAGCAUUUCUUUGCUUUUGGGUACCCAAGCCACUUCAGGGGGCUUUUAUUAUGUGAGAAUGUGGAUUAUAACCUCCAAUGGAGCGUUAUUUUGCAGUAGGGCGUGGAUAAUCUCCAUUUAGGGAGUUGGAACAUUUAGAACCCAUAUAUCUGUCAUGCUGCAGGCAUGCCACAGAUUAAUACAUACAUGUCAAUUAGUUUAUGGGACUUUAACCCAUAUGAUGGGACUUUAACCCAUGUAAUUUGCUACGCAUUCGGCGUGCAUAAUCUCAAUAUUGACAUGUCAAAGGAUUGUCCAUUCGGGACUUCAAUCCACAUCAUUUGCUACGCAAUAGGCGUGCAUCAUAUUGAUCACUGCUAUACCCAUAUUCUGUUCUUAUGGGACUUUAAUCUGUGCAAUGUAUUAUCAAUGUAUCCAACUUGCAAUCUGUAAAAUUUGCAUUAAUAAUACAUGGAUACAUACAAGCCAUUCUUUUGGGACGGACUUAUCUCCCCAUUUGGUUACCUUUCAAUAUAAAAUAUCAAAUAGGUAUAUAAGCAUAAAAUAACACAAGUAUUGCUUACAUCCUUAGGUGGGAGAAACUUUUCUCAAGUAUCGCUUGAUGAUCUUGUUAUAUCCUGCAAGAGCAAAAAUCACAAUUCCUUUCUCUGUCAAAAACAAAUAAGAGGAAUAGGUAGAACCGGUGAAUUUCAAAUUAACCAUAGGAAAAUUGCGAGAUUCUCGGGAUGCUUUUGAAAAAGUAGCUCCGUGAAAUCCGUAAAGCAAGAUUGGCUUUGAAAAUAAUACUUGAAAACGCCGAAAGUGCCGACAGGCAUUAUUAGAGGCCACGUGAAGUUUUGGACUUCUAGGAAAGAAAAAGAUAAUAUGGGGAUUCGAGAAGAUAUUGGGGUCUUGAAAAACAGUAGCCAUAUUUCCUCCUAUAGAUAUGGCCUUUGCAACAAUUGCGCACCUUCUUAAACUUGCACCUGUGGUUUUUACGCCUUUUCAAAAUGACGGUUUGGAACCUUGUGCCUUAUAGGUUCAAAUAACCACAUUGUUUCUCCCAAAUUUCAUAUUUUAUCGCAUGGUAGCCCGAAACUUUUGGCCUGGGCACAAAUUCAGAAUUUAUUUGCCCUUUUCAAAUGGACAUGAAAUAUGAAUUGAGUAAAAGCCAUGAUAAUAUCGCAAUAUAGUAGUGAAGAGCAUUAACUACUAUAUACCCACAACUUCAAGUUCAGGAUCUCUCAUAUAUUUGGAUCCAUGGGUUUCCGGCCCAGAUAUAACAAAAUAUGUGGGGAGCCUCAAUUCAUCAUUUGAGGUUCAUACUGAUAUUAUCCAUUUCACGGUGUAUUCUUGACAACCGGAAUUCACAAAAUAUAUUUCUUCCUUGAAGUGUCGAUUAUAACAAAAUCGAACUUUAAAUUCAUCAUCUUCUUAUGCCAAAGAAAUAUGUGGCAUACCACAAUUUGCAAUAAUACCUCAAGGGUUGUCCAUUUAAUUGUUGGAACUUCAGGUUCUCAACACUGUUAGAUUUUGAACUUCUGGCCAAAAUCACAUAUUCUCAUGGUAUGGACAUUCAAUCCCCUUAGAUUUUGAACUUCGGGCCAAAAUCACAUAUUCUCAUGGUAUGGACAUUUUUACAAUUUUCUGUACAUAUUUCUGGACUUCAAGCCCUUACAUAAUUGUCCAUAUUUUGAGGAACUUCUGGCAUCUCAUUUAAUUGCUCAUCCAUGAGUUUAAGGAACUGCAGGUUCCCUUUUGAAUGGUGAUGGUUUACCCAAAAUGGUAAAUACUUAUGCAUACAUCACUAUUCAUGUAUACGGCACUAUUUAUGUAUACAGUACAUUUGCCAGUACAGUUAUCAUCCAUGUGUACGGCAUUAUGAACAAAUACGGUACUGUUACAUCAUUAAGGAACCCCAUGUCCUUAUUUACAUGUCAGGGAUCAAGGACCCUCAAGUCCGAUCACAUGUUUACAAAUAUAGUACCGGAGAGACUGCCAGCUCUCAUAUUAACAUCAUCAUCAAGGAUCUUCAAGUCCUGAUGUAAUUGUAUGAUGAGGAUCAAAGAACUUCUGGUCCUGAUCUGUAUACUGUAAAAACUCAUCAUACAGCACAUUUAAUCCAUAGAAUAAAUUGCUGGUAAAUAAAUUACUGGUAUGGACGAUAAACUCGCACCAUACUUUAAAUAAAUAUUGCCUUACAUACACUUACAGCAUCAAUAAUUGAUAUCCAUCCAUGAUCCACCUGUAUAAAUGUAUAUAUAUAUAUGUAUAUAUAUAUAUAUUAUUUUUAUUUGGACUUAAACAGAAACAGGCAUUUUCUAUAGCUGUAAGUAUAAUUGUACCUGCCUACGCUGAAGAUUCCUUUCAUUGUUGCAGGAUGGUGGGCAUUCAGUUUAAAUAAAGCAAACACACACAUUUCAAAUUUUAAUUGAAUUUCAAAUUAGCAGUUUACUUACAUGCCCAUCCAUGACGUAAAAAGCAGAGACAAGUGAUUGUCUUUCGACAAUGACAUGAUAUCACAGUAGUGGGGAUAACGCUAUGAUAUUGGCCGAUCGGCUUCGCUGUAUCCCUGCACACCUUUAAUAAUUAUAUAAUAUUAAAAUAAUAUAAUUAUGUACCUGCACUAUAGACCUGCAUCUUAAGCUUCUUCCCUUUAUGGGGUCUGCCGCUUUGCCUUUUGUUUCCUUUGCUUUGCUUUCCACUGAAGCAAGUUGGCCAGCACCAAUAAUGCCGCCCACAAUGCAAAAAUCAAGUUGGCCAGCACCAAUAAUGCCGCCCACAAUGCAAAAAUCAAGUUGGCUACUUUUGCCUGUUGCUUUCUCAAUUUCCUCCACCCUUUCAUUGUCUUUUCUUCUUUCACUACUUCUCAUCUUCUGCCUCUCUCUUGCCUUUUUUUUUUCUUUUUUUUUUUUUGUAUUCGAUUUUCUGGCAAGCCUCCAAAGACAGCAACGACCAAGUUGCCUUGUCAUGGCUGGCGGCCAUUGCAAAAGCCUUUUCCAUGAAGAAAUGGACUUGGACACGAGGCUGGUUGAUUAUGUAGUUGGAGAUGAAGAAAGCAGCUGACAGUCUAGGGAGGGAGCGAACCAGAGAGUUUGUUACUCCACUGGUGUGGUUGGGAGGUAGGGAUCGUCUGUGGUUGGUACAGAGUUUUCUUCCUCAGCUCAAGCAAGGCAAUAGAGGUAGGUUUGUUUGCUCAGCUCAGCUCAACCUGUGCUCUCUGUGUUUGUUUGCUGGGUUAUCUGGGAGAGUAAUUUUCUUCGGGUUCGGUUCUGGUAUGCUUUUGCAUAUAGAAAACAGAGAACCCAGAAAGGAAAUCCAAGAGAGAGACUUUGGUUGAGAAAAUGGCAAUUUUUGAGAAAAAUGGAGAUGCUGAGGUUGGUUGGACAACACCGAAUGGAAGUUGUUGGGCUCGGAGCAGAGAAUUGGUUCUCUAGAUCGGAGGUUUUGUGUGAAAUUUUACUGGCAAGCAAUCCGUGUGGCUCUGUACAAAACUGGGUUGGUUUUGGGUGGGCAAUCUGGGCUUGGUUUCGAACUGGGUGUCUUGAUCAAUUUCUGGGAUCAAGAAAUCAGAGAUUUCAGCCGGUUAAAGACUCGUGCUGAUAUCGUGUUGUAAAUGUGGAGAGAAAAAGUAGAGAAUUGGAAUAGAGAGGAGAGACUGAUUUUCUCAUUCAUAUGUUCUGAUGAAUGUCUUCAGUGUAUAUUUUACAAGUAGGGGGAGGUAUCUAUUUAUAGGCUAAGGUUUUGGUAAAAUACAGGGAAGGAAAGUUCCUGGAAGAUGCAAGGAAACUUCCUCUGUGGGCUCCACCUUCAAACUUUUACAACACAUUUUGAUUUUUAAAUUUUGUUUUAAUAUUUCGGCCCACUUAGUUCUUCUCAAAAUAUGUCAUCAAUAUCGUUGAAAGGUUGAACUUAGUGAAUUAUUAUAGUGCAGUACGGUAGAAUAAGCACAUGAUAUAAUUUGUCCACAUGUUAUAAUAUAAGUGAAUAUUUAUUGAUAUUAUUUCCAAAAAUAAGAAAUAUCAACAAUUAUAUCCUCCUAUAUUAUAAUACAUAUACAAAUUAUACCACAUUAUCAUACUCUAAUACCAUUUUAUAAUUUCUCGUACUUAGGAGGUAUAGAGCGAGUCAAUGACAUUACAUAAUAUAUAAUUGUUCAUAUAAUGGGGCAACUAACGUGAUCAACAAGUUGUGGUGAUUAAUUUAACAUAAUAAAAAAUAUACCAUUUACUUGAGUGAUGUAACAAUUUGUUCUUUUAAAUUGGAUUGCCAUCACUUUAAUAUGUUAUGUUUCUUAUUAUAGUCUCCCAUGUUAAGUGCUUCAGCAUUGUUUGUGGUGUGUACACAAAUUUUCUUAUAAAAUGUUUUAAUGCUUCUCACAUGUAUAUCAGAUAUAGACAGUUGAUGUGACUUAGAAAUCAAAUUGUCAAUAAAACAAAAAAAUAUAAUUGGUGAUCGAGGUCCAAUUUAAUAGAAAAUAGUCUUAACUUGCAUAUUAAAGGUCUUAUAUUCGAAUCCUCACUGCAUUAUUGUUGUAUGCGUACACAAGAAAUUCUCUUCCCCAAUAAUUUAGACUAUCACUUAUACUAAAAAUAUAUAUAUAUAAUGACUUUUACGAAUGCAAACAUAAAAUUACAUCAAACAAUAAUCACUACUACAAAAAAGCAAAAAGACGACGGUAAAUCACCGUCGUGUAUUGGGGUUUUCAAUGGUCGUGGAAUCCACCGUCAUCUUUUCCCUCAUAAACCACGACGCUAAAUAACCGUCGUUGUUAAAAUAUACAACGUCAUCAACAAAUACAAAACGACGUCUUUGUACUGCAAAAAGAUCUAAAAAAAGCAAUCGAGGAUGAUAAUAGACGACCAACUCUCUAAAAAAACCGUCGUUAAAAAGAAAAAAUAUGACACAUAUUAAGAGAACAAGGCCGCAAGAUAGACAUACAACGACGAAAAUAAAAAUACGACGACGUUAAAUAUAAUUUUCACGACAAUAAAAAAUAUGACGUCUUUAAAUACAUUAGAAGACGACGUUAUUGAUACAUACUACGUCGCAUAUAUAAAAACAACCGUCGUAAAAUUAAUUUUCCACUUCGAUUUUUCGAUAAAAGAUGACGUGGAAAUAGUUGUCAGUGUCAUUAUUUACGACGUAUGUGUUUAUAGAUUAGACGUUGAAAAACUAAACAACGUCGGUUACAAAUAUAUGAGAGUCGUAUUACAAAAUUUAUACGUCCUAUUUUCAGAAACAAACAACGACGAUAAAUAUUAGACGUUGUUAAACAAAACAACGUCGGAAAAAUAAAAACAGACGUGUUUAGUCUGCUAAAGUUCUAGAAAAUAGUCGAGGAUGAGAAUAGACAACCAACUCAAAAAAAUCACCGUCGUUAAAAAGGAAAAAUCUGACACAUAUUAAAAGAACAAGGCCGCAAGAUAUACAUACAACGACGACAACUAAAAUACUACGCCGUUAAAUAUAAUUUACACGACAAGAAAAAAUAUGACGUCUUUAAAUACAUGAGAAGACGACGUUAUUGAAAUCUACUACGUCUCUUAUUUACAAAAAACCGUCGUGAAAUAAAUUUUCCACUUCGAUUUUUCUAAAAAAGAUGACGUGGAAAUAGUUGUCAGUGUCAUUAUUUACGACGUACACAUUUAUAUAGUCGACGUUGUAUUUAUAUGUAUUCAUUACUCACGACGCACUUAAUAAUAUAGACGACGUUGAACUUCUAAACAACGUCGGUUCCAAAUAAAUGAGAGCCGUAUUACAGAACAUAUAGACGGCGUAGAUUAUGAUGAGAGCCGUAUUACAAAUAACGUCGUUUAAUUGUUAUUAGACGGCGGUUAUAAUGAAUUUCCGUCGGAAUUCAUUUCGUUCCUCUUCGUUUAUAAAAGAACUUGCGACGUGGAAAAUGUAUGAUGACGUCGUAUUUUUUAACGUUCAGAUUAUAUAUCUCGUUUUUAGACGUCGGUAUUAUGGGAUUGGAGUCGUGUUAUUUUGAAUUACAUGGCGGUUCUUAAUCCUUCACCGACGUGAUAUCCUGAAUAAUUGCUUCACAAUAGCGUCGUGGUUCUUCAUUGUUACGUUGCUUUAAGACGUCGGUAAAUAUGCUGAAUAACUGAUUCACAAUAACGUCGUGUUUUAUUUGAACGUAGAAAGUGAAGAAAUCACAUUACAAUAUAUUACAAAAUUAAUGUCAUACACUGCCAAUUACAUAAGCAUCAUUCAAUCCAUAUAUCUUCACACCCAUCUCGAAUAUUUUGACCGCCUAACUCACCCACCAGUUCAUCAAAUGUGUCAACAUUUGGCAUCCCUCUAGUAAAUGGCUCACACUCAAUUAUCACAUCACCUAAGACUUCAUCACCAAUAACAUCAUUAUAUUCUCUAUUAGGCAUUGAUAACACUACCGACCAACCACGAUGCAUCGGGUCGUCAACAAAAAAUAUUUGUUUGACUUGAGAAGCCAAAACAAAUUGGUCAUUCCUAUGUCCAAUUUUACUCAAAUCUACAAGGGUAAAUCCAAGUUCGUCGACUACAAGACCAGAACUAUCUAUCCAAUCACACCUAAAGACUGGGAUUGUAAACUUUUGGUAGUCAAGGUCCCAAAUUUCUUGAAUGACACCAUAGAAACCCAUAUUUGAGAGAAUUGGGUUUUUAUCCUUGGCACUAGCAACUUGCAUGGUAUGUGCAAGUAAAUAAACUCCACUAUUUUGAGUUGUCCGCACAUCAUCUUGUGCCUUGAUAUUGAAUUUAAUACCUUUAAUAAGAUAGCUCCUAUAUAAUGGCACUGACAUGUUUGGACCAGCUGCUAGCCACCUUAAAUUUUCUGAUACGCCAUGAUUGUCUUCCUCAAGUUCACUUUGAACCUGCAAAUUAAUCAUAUCUUAAUUCAAUCUAACAUAUAAAUAAGAAGAAAAUUAAAAGAGAAAUAUGUUAUUCAACAACAUAUACCUUGAAGCGUAGCCAUUGAAUGAAAGUGCUAUUGUGCUUAUCCUGCAGCCACUUUGUUCUCUUUCUAAAUUUUGGAUAAGCAGUCUUGAUGUGGAUCAUAUGUUGCCCACAUGACACGAAAAAUUCAAGCAUUACGAUCCUAAAUAUAGAAGAUAAACAUAAGAAAUAAUUUAAAAUGGAAACUUAAAGAAUAAAGCUCAUACGUACUCGAUAUAAGGUAGGACUUCCUCCGUAUUCUCCAAGACAUAUAGAUGUGCUUGAUUCAACAGGUCCUGAUCAACUACGCUCACUGUGCAACCUGAUAAUGGCUUUGAAAGCCCCAUCUUUUGGCUUGAAGGCACUCCAACUGUACUAACAUCAGAUAAAUGCUGAGUACAACACUCUACCGCUUCUUCAGCUAUAUACCGCUCAGCAAUGCAACCUUCGGGACGAGUACGAUUCUGAACAUACCCCUUCAGCACUUUCAUAUAUCUUUCAAACGGAUACAUCCACCGAAAAUAUACUGGCCCACAUAGACGAACUUCUCUGACAAGAUGUACUACUAGAUGAACCAUGAUAUCAAAGAAUGAAGGGGGAAAGUACUUCUCAAGCAAACACAGAGUAACUACUACAUCUUCUUCCAACUUAUCUAGCUUGGAAACAUCAACAGUCUUUGCACAUAUAGCAUUGAAGAAGAAGCACAAACGAGUUAUUGCAUACCUUGCAGGCUUCUCCAAAACAGAACGAAUUGCCACAGGGAGCAAUUGUUGCAUUAAGGUAUGACAAUCAUGUGAUUUAAGGCCAAGAAGUCUUGAAUCUUGUAAAGAUACAAGAUUUUUAAUAUUUGAAGAAUAACCUUCAGGGACCUUCAUACCAUAGAAAGAAUUGCAAACCUCUCUCUUCUCUACUCUUGACAAAUUCCAAGGCCCAGGAGGCAAACGAGUACGUCUUUCUCCAUACUCGGGUUGCAAAUCAGUUUUGACCCCCAUGUUCAAUAAAUCUAAUCGAGCAGCAAUCCCAUCUUUAUUUUUUCCAGGGAUCUCCAGCAAUGUACCAAUGAUACUAUCACAAACAUUCUUCUCAAUGUGCAUAACAUCUAGGGCAUGCCUUACAGGAAGGUAUUUCCAAUACUCGAGAUCAAAGAAUAUUGAUUUCUUCUUCCAACAAACUCUGUCACCAUUUUCAACCAUAUGCAGCACUUCUUCUCCGGUUAAUGGCUCGGGAGGUAUGCCAUAUUCAGGUUUCCCAUUAAAAGCUGCACGUUGCCUCCUAUAUGGAUGAUUGAUUGGUAACCAUUUUCUAUGCCCAAUGUAACAAAUUUUGUGGCCAUUUUUCAACCUGUGACUAGGUGUAUCAUCGCCGCAUAUUGGACAAGCUUUAUAUCCUUUAACAACACAACCAGAUAAGUUUCCAUAGGCGGGGAAAUCAUUAAUUGUCCACAUUAAUGCAGCUCUGAGUGUAAAGUAUUCUCCAUUAUGUGCAUCAUACACUCCUCUAAUCCCAUCCCACAAAGAUUUUAAAUCAUCAAUCAAAGGCUCCAAGUAGACGUCUAUAUCAUUUCCGGGUUGUUUAGGACCGAAAAUCAAUAAGGUUAACAUCAUGAACUUUCGUUUCAUGCACAGCCAUGGAGGGAGAUUAUAUGUAACUAAGAUAACCGGCCAACAACUAUAUCUGCUACUUAGAGAACUGUGGGGAUUGAAUCCAUCAGAUGAAAGAGCCAAUCUCAAGUUUCUCGGCUCAUUACCAAACUCAGGCCAUUUAUCAUCAAGAAGUUUCCAAGACGGGGAAUCCGCCGGAUGAGACAUCUGACCGUCAAUUGAUUUUCUAGGAGCAUGCCAAGUCAAACUCUUAGCUGUCUCAUGUGAUUGAAACAUCCUUUUAAACCUUGGAAUUGGAGGAAAAUACCACACCACCUUCGCUGGCACACCCUCUUUCAAGAUUGAAUCUUUGCCUUCCUUCCACCUUGAGAUACCACAAGUAGGACAAUUAGUUGAAUCCUCAUACUCCUUCCUAUACAAGAUGCAAUCAUUGGGGCAUGCGUGCAUUUUCUCAUAACUCAGCCCCAAUGCACACAAAGUCUUUUUAGCCUCAUACAUAGAGGUUGGUAUUGUAUUUCCUUAUGGAAGCAAAUCGCCUUGAAGUAUCAAUAAUUCUGUAAAACAGACAUCACUCAUCCCAUGUUUUGCCUUCAAAUUAUACAACUUCACUAAUGCCGAUAACUUCGUGUACUUUCUACAACCAGGGUACACUGGUUGAUCUCCAUCCCCAAUCACAUUGGCAAACUCAUACGGAUCGGAACCAAAAUCAUUAUCAUCCAUAUCAAUUUCUUCAGACACAAAACUGUACCUACUAUGGCCAUCAUCUUCUUCAACAUUUCUACUAGCAUUAGUAGUUGCUUCCCAAGGUUCUCCGUGAAAUGUCCAAUUCUUAUAGCUUUGGUCAAUUCCAUUAAAGUAUAAGUGAUCCCUUAUAAUUCCAACCCCAAACAACUUCAAAUUAACACAUUUAACACAUGGACAACGGAUAUGUGUUGUAGUUAGAAGAUUUUCUACAGCAAAGUUCAAAAAUGCUUCCACCCCAAACUCAUAUGCCUUCGAUCUUCUAUCCGAGUGCAUCAUUGACUUAUCCAUCUCCGACACUAUAACCUAUUAUCUAUAAUAAAGUGAAAAUACAGGCAAUGACCAUCACUAUAGCAGAUUAUACAAAGAUCUAAUAGCAAGUAAUACACAACAAAGACGACGGGUUUUAAACAAAAACAGACGUAUUUGGCAUAUAUAGACGACGGAUUUUCAACAGACGUCGUCUAAUAUAAGUAAUACAAACGACGGUUUAUGAAAAAACCGUCGUGUAUAAGUAAUACAACGACGGUUUUUUCAUAAACCGUCGUGUAAUCGUCGGCGUAUGCCUAAAAAGGCGUCGUGUCUCAGUUUAUUUUCAAGAACCCAAAACCCAUUAAGAACACAACAUAUAUAUGAAACCAAGCAAGAAAACAACAUAUACAUGAAACCAAGCAUGAAAACAAUAAAUCCAUUCCCAAUUCAACAUAACAUAGGGUGAUUAAAAGAUCCGACAAAAUUAAAUCCAUUCCCAAUUCAACAUAACAGAUAAUGUAAUCCAUGAACCCAUUAAACAGAAAAUCCAUGAACCCAUACUUAUAAGCACAUUAUUAACAGAUCGCAAAGCAUAUACCUAAAACCCUUUAACAAAACAACCUAAUAUCAUUCAAUGAAUUUACAAGGGGAAGAUAGGGUUUGUACUUACAGGUUGGACGAGCUCACAGAUUCGACGGAGCAGAAGUGAGAGAGCAACUUUUAAUUAGAGCAGAAGUGAGAGAGCGAAAUGUUAUGUUGCGCGAAAUCUGAAAAUUUUAGGGUUCAGGGUUAGAAGAAUAAGAAUAAGAGCCAAAUAUAAAAAAAUUUAGGACGCGUGAAAAUUUUUAGAGCGCGCGCUCUUUAAAACUUCGAAAGAAAAACCAUGGCGAAAGUUCUACAAGAACCGACAUAAAUGUAAUAUUCCACGACGGAAACACUGAACGUAACGCCGUUUAUUUUGACGCUUCAUUUUUCGGAUUAAUUUUAAAUUUAUUUUCAAUAUUUUGAUAUAAAGACGACUGAAAAACCACGUCGGGGUUAAGAAAUUGAAAACGUUGUAAAUUAUAAUAGACGACUUACAUAUUAAAAUGACGUCGUUUAAAGUAGAAACUAUGUCGGAUAAUUUACUGCACGACGUAACAUAUGUAUUCCACGACUCAACCACCGUCGUUAACAAUUAAUACCCUAAACCCUUAAAACUAAAUUAUAUAAUUUUAAAAAUUAACUUUAUAAAAGGGUUUAUGGUUUUACAGCCUAAUAUAUACCCUAGACUACCCAAAAAUUAUACUUUAAAAAUAAACCCCAAUAAAUAACAACCCUAAUCUCUAAACCCUAGACUCUAAACCCUAAACCAUAAAACUAGAAGUGAUUUUAUGACUCAUCAAAACAAUUUUGUUUUGGAUGUUCAUUUUAAAUUUUUGUAAUUCAAAAUGAAUUUUUUCAAGGUUUAGGGGGAAGAAAAUAUAUCAAUGACUUCAUAGGAGUUGACUUUGCAUUUUUCUGAUUUAUUUUAAAUUUAUUUUGAAUAUUUUGAUAUAAAAAUAAUAAAAUAUUCUUAUCACAACAACAAACCACGUCGGUGUUGAUAAAUUGUAGACGUUGUAAAUUGUAAUAGACGACUAAGUUGUUAAAAUGACGUCGUUUAAAUGAGAAACGAUGGCGGAUAUUUAACUAUCCGACGUAAAAUAUAUAUUCCUCGACUUAACCACUGUCGUUACAAAGUACUACCCUGAACCCUUAAGAAAUUGAAGACGUUGUAAACCAUAAACGACUCCAUUGUUCAAAGAACGUCGUCUAAAUAUCCUUUUACGCCGGAUUUGUUUAAAACGAAACCACAAAAAACGACGGCUUUUGACUUUAUUACGUCGUUGGAAAAUUAUUACACGUCGGUUACGCAUUUUGUAUGUUUGUUUUUGUUUUUACUUUAAGAAAACCUCAACAAAUUUUUACAUUAUAUAUUAUAGACAAAAUUUGUACAUUAUACAUAAAUAUCAAGUGUUCAAUAAUUCCCCUAUUCCAGUUGAAUGCAAACAAACUCUGCCCAUUCAUUCCGGACUUCAUCAAUUGCUUCUUGGGGGUAUGGCUCUUCCUGUUUUCCCUUCGCAUACUGCAUAAAAACAAUGACUAUUAGGGUUUAUAAAUAAAAGGAAAUUCAAUCACAGACGACCAUAACCGACGUAGUAUAUCUAUUCAACGACGGUAAUUUUACAUGACCGUCGUUGAUAAUACAAAAAACGACGUAAAAUGUUUGAAGGUUAUUUCUUCUUACCUUCUUCUCAAACCCCAAGGAAGGAUCCAUGAUGAUGUCCUUCAUGAAGCGCAUCACGUAAUACCCGCAUUCGACAUUGCUGGGUUGCUUUGGUGUGCCUGACAGGGUUUUCCAAAUGACUGCCUUACGGCCUGAUCUGGCUAUGUGGGAAUUAUAAAUUUUUAUGGCACUGUUCACGAUGUCUUUGGCCUCUUCAUCGACCACACGAUUUCCUGGCAGAGGAUCCAGAAAAUAGACUGUUUCCCUCUUUGCUCUUACAAUCAGCAAGAUCCAAUGACGGCUGCACAAAAUUAAUAUAAAAACGACGGUUAUUUACAAAAACGACGUAUUAUAAUAUUUCACACGACGAAAUAAAGUAGCAAUCGACGACAUUAUAUAUUUAUAACGACGAUAAAUAACUACCGACGUGGUUAGUCGUUUCAAACGACUCAAUAAAAUAAAACACCGACGUGGUUAGUUUAUACGCUGUCAUUUAUUGAAAAUCAUAAAAACAAAAUCCUGUUAAGGAGACUAACCCUGGAUUGUAAGGCAUGAGGAAAAUCUGUUCACCGUCAGUCUUCUGAAGUCGUGAUGCUACAAGCCGUGAUCUGUCAGCUAUUGUGCCAGAGCUGGCACUAACUGUAGCAGGGUCGAUAAAGCCAACCAUUGUGCACAUAUUUGCUUGUUUUAAAACAUCGUGUAAGUACCUAAAUAUAUAAAAUAAUAUAAACAAGUCAGCGCAAAAAAAACACACGACGGUUAUGUAUAACAAAACGACGUAUUAUAAGGUUUCACACGACGUACUGAAAUAGACAACGACGUUAUAAUAAAUUUAUCACGACGGUACAUACUAACGACGUGGUUAGUUAGUUAAGACGACGCAAUAAAUAAACCAACGACGUAUUAUUUUAGAAUGACAAACCUCAUAUAUACAGCAAUGACUGUAGCUCCUAUUUCCUCCAUGCCUGCAAAUUGUGUAAUAUCUUCAGGCAGGAGGAAGGUAUCGCGCUCUAGACCAAACACCUCCUUAUCAAUUGUAAAGUGCAGGGUCUUAUCUUGAGUUACGAGUGUCGUUUCCACAUAACGACAAAGGGUUUGUAAAGAAGAUGGCGCCUCCAUAUUUGAAUAAUCAACAACUUUAGUAACCUGUUUAAAGAAAUAAAAAAAUGACGUGGUAAUUCAAUAAAAACGACGGUUUAAGGAAUAAAAUGUCGUUUGAAAACAAUUUAAACGACGGUGAAAAAACCGUCGUGGUGAAUUAUUUAUUACGUCUUAGAAAACAAUUCCGCCGUCUAAGUUGUAAACAAACGACGGUUUAAAGAAAAAUAUCGACGUCUGGAAUUUUGAAAACAAAUAAAAAAGGUAAAGUUAUGUGAACAUACCUGGUCGUCAUCUUCUUUCUCCUUUUCAUCUUGUUUUUCUUCCUUAUUCUCUUCAUAUAUGACGUCGGGAAUGAUUAACUCCGUCAUCUAAAAACCACAAAGUUUUAAAAAUAACGACGUUUAAUGGCGUGUAAAACAAGUAAACUAAAUACGACGUGGUAUUGAAAUACAAACGACGGUUUAUUUUUAAAAUCGUCGUGGUAUGUAUUUCAAACGACGGUUUUAUUAAAAAUAACGACGUCUAAUGGUUUUUAAAAAAACAGAGAAUUCAAAGUUCAGAUAUGUUACCUUUUCUUCCUGAUGUUUCCCAUUUUUGGCAGUAUCAUCCUCAAAAUGCUGGGAUCUCACAUCACCUCCAGAGCAGCUUGCUUUGUCAGACAUUGGAUUUUUGGGACUUUGGCUAAUUCUGGGUUUAAGCAUGCUUGGAUCAAAAUUGGGAAUUAAUUGGGAAAGCUGACUCAGGAAAUGCUCCCUCUCAGCCUCUACCAAUUGUUUCGUUCUAGCCUCCAUUCUUAAAGCCUCUUCCCUUGCCUUAGCCUCCAUCUUUUUAGUCUCUUCUUGAAGGAGAACUCUUAAACUGUCCUUCAAACGGUCGUCAAAGCUCACUCUCUGUGGUUUGGGUAAAUUGAAAUAUUGCUUUGGUGAGAUCCCAGCACCUACUCCUCUGACUCUGCCUGGAUGCUCGGGGCCCAAAGCCAUGGUCAGCACAUCAUUGCUGCCAGAGACGGUGACUUUGCCUUCCGAGACUUGUUUUUGCAAAUCAUCCUAAAACAAAGAUAUAUAAAAAAGUAAGAACAAAAACACACGACGGUUAUUUAUAUACAAACGACGUAUUAUAUAAUUUCACACGACUCAAUAACAUAUAAAUCGACGUUAUUAUAAUUUAUCACGACGGUAGUUAUACCGACGUGGUUAGUUCUUUAAAACGACGAAAUUAAUAAACCACCAACGUCUUAUGUAACAGAGGGAUGAUUCAAUAUUCACACCUUUAACGACGUUGUUUAAAACAUUUCGACGUAGUAAUUUAAUACAGACGACGCGAAAUUGAACCACCGACAUCUUAUGCUAUAAUUACAGAAAACAGAGUUCUGAUUCCUAUUUAGACCUUUAACGACGUGUUUUAAAAAAUGUCGACGUGGUAAUAUCAUUCACACGACGCAAAAUAUAACAUAAGACGUAAUAAGAAUUAUUCACAGUUUAAUAAAAAUUUAAAACAGAGUGAGUAGGCUUACAAUUAAUUUUGCUUUCUCUGCCACCUUUGGAUCAGGGAUGUUACCAUGUUUGUCAUGUCUAGCUCUCUUCCAUAAGGUAGAUCGAUCAAUUUCUACCCCAGGCAUGGUUUCCUCUAAUUGAUCCUCCAAACCGGCAUAUCCUUUUCGAGACAAUCGAUGAUUGUACUCGAGUUUCUCCCUAAUCUGUGCAUGUUGAGAAUGCACAGACUCAAAAUCUUUGGAUAGCCUUGAAGCUACAAAGGCAUCCCAUUGUGCUUUCUCUAUGAAUUUAUAUGUUUCAGGGGGUUGGCUUAAUCUCUCCCUGUCAUUGGUGUAUGGAAGGAUAUAAUGCCUCGUUAGUGUAGACUUGAAAUCCUUCCAUUUCUUGGCAGCAGAAGCUAAGACAGAGUUCUUGCCCCCUUGACCUACUACAAAAGCAAUGUCAACUGCUUCCCAAAUCUGCUCCUUUAUAUCCUUGGGGAUUUGAGCCCAUUUCAAGUCCACAAGUGGAACUCUGGAGCGUGCCAACACACCAAUAUAGGACUGCAUCUCACUAUGAGCUUGGCCAAUUCCUUUCCCCCUUUUAUUGUACUCAACAAUUGGCCUCAGUUUCUGCAGUUUUCUCUUCACAACACGAGGCAUUGUGCUCAUACCUCGACCAGCCUUUGAAUCAUCAGAUAUUGUUGUCCCGCUGGUUGGUUCUGUAUCAGCAGAUGAUGAAGCAAACUUCAUCUUCUUCGAAGACUUCAUUAUCUUCGAAGACUUCUCUUGAGGAGGUACUUGCUCCUCACCUCCAUUUUUCUUGGAGCCAGAAUCCUUACUUUAGUCUUGUUGAGAAACCAUUUUUACAGACAAAACUGCAAGUGAAAAUAUUUCAAGAAAAGAUUAAGAACACAAACGACGGUUAUUAAUAAAAUACGACGUAUGAUAUGAUUUUAAACGACGCAAUGAAAUAAUAUCAGACGUAAUAAAUUUUUAAAACGAAGGUAAUUAAACAACGACGAAAUAAUUGACUACAAACGACGAGAUAAUUAACUAUAAACGACGGAAUAUUUAUAUAACGUCGUGGUAUUGAUGUUCACACGACGUCAGUAGUAAUAUACCGUCGUCUAUAUAAGGAUCCAAAACCCUUCUUUCUUUCUCUGUGAAUGUUUGAUUGCAGAUUUGAUUUUUCUGAACCAUGGUUUUUGUUUUCUAAUUUGAUAAAAUACAAGGCCAAGAAAGAAAGUUUUGGAAUCUUAUAUAGACGACGGUAUUUUAAUAUGACGUCGUGGUAUUAACAUUCACACGACGUAAAACAAUAAGAUACUGUCGUCUAUAUUAGAUACCAACCCUAAUUUCUUUUUCUUUAUAUUUUAUCAAAUUAGGGAAAAACAAAAACCAUUGUUCAGAAAAAUCAAACCUGCAAUUAAACAAGCAAAUAAAAAAAAGACUAAAAUUUUAAAAACAACUUUGUCAAUUUUCAGACGACGCUAGAACGACUGACGAACCGUCGUGGUCUACAUAUUUAACCACGUAAAUAAGAAGCUACCGUCGUCUUAUUUAGUUAAGGUAGUUGUCUUCAAAGUUGGAAACUUUCCCUCUUUGUCUGUAUAUUUUAUCGAACUUGGAAAGAAGUAAAAUGAUUUUGGCCAGAAAAAAGGUAAAAAGAUUUUUCAAACAAAAAACGUAUGAGCAUGCAAAACAGCAACCAAAAUAGUGAAAAUGAAAGCUUACCUUUUGUGUGCAAUGAAAGCAAGAGGAAGACGAUCGAUGUUUAAAUUCAGAGACGACGAAGAAGACGAGAGGAAGACGAUGAGAUACUCUGAAAGUGCUCUGACAAGGAAAAAAGUCUAAAAGUUUUCUCUGGGAGAUUGAAAUUUUUAAUCGGGUUUGGAAAAAGUGCAUGUGUAAGUCAGGUAGACGAAAAGUUGCUUAUAUAUAAAACCAUUUCAAAAAAAUAAUACGGCGGUUACAUAUAACUACGACGUAUAAAUUACAAAAUACGACAGUACGUUUAACUUCGGACGUGGUAAAUAAUUACGACAGUAGUGUUAUAGGUACCGUCGUAGUAAACUCAAAAUUAAAGUACAUAAGUAAUAACUCGCGUCAUGGUAGAUCAUUUAACACGUCGGUUUUAUUAAUGUACCGACGUGGAUUUAUGUAAUAUACGUCGGUAAUACCGACGUUGAUUUUACAAUUUAAACGGCGGUUUUUUUGUAAGGACCGCCGUUGGUUUUAAAAAUUUAUUCUAUAAAUUUGUUGCUUUCAUUCAUUUUCGGUUUACAUUUAGGGUUCCAAGUUCUUCCUCUCUCAGAGACACUAUCUCUCACAUCUCAAAGACAGUAAUUUGGAUGUCUUUCUCAAAGAGAAAUUGAGCUUACUCGCAUCAAAUCUAUGUCCACAAGAAGAAGCUUGUCAACUAGCCUUCUCACUUCCUUGAUCAAGCCUGAUAGGACACUUAGUGCUUCUGAAUACUCCUUGCUUUCCAUCAAAAGAGAUGCAAGCCUGGCCUCCACUCGCUGUCGAAGGAAAGUUCGCUUCUCAGGGAAAUCUGAAGAUCAGAUGUGCCUGAUCCUCUGCUUGAUUUUCUUGGCUAAGAAGAUCCGUCAGAUUUGUGAUAGCCUCUUCCUUUAUCCGUAGAGCUUCAGAAGAAGAAGAUGGGUUUCAAGAAUGCGAUAAAGAAUAGAAAUGGCUUCAGAUGGCCUCUAAAGCAUGAGCAAUCGAAUCAGUGCUUUGAACUAUACUUUGAACUAUACAAGUCAAUGCUUUGAACUAUACAAGUCCUGCAGAAAGAUAAAGGACCAAACUAUUAAAGAAACCCCAAACUAACACGACGCAAUAUUUGUUUUGCGACGUGGAAUCUUUUCAUUUAACGUCGUUAGGUUUAAUAUAACCGACGUGGAUUUGAAUUUUUAAAUUAUGAAUAGCAUUUUUUUUCCCGUGACCUUUCAGUUUAUUUUUCAAUUACAGUGCGUUAUAAAUAGAGUUUUUUUUCCGGAGGAAAUUUAAAAUGAAGGAAAUUAAUGUUCUGGAAUAUGUAAAAUUUCUUUUUUGGAUGACAGAUUUAAAUAAAAUAAGAAUAUAAAAACAACGACUGUUUUUGUAUUACUGUCGUCGUUUUUCGUCGUCUUAAGUAAGACUAAGACAACGUAAUAUAUUUGUUGAGCGACGUUGAUUUGUGUUUUAAACGUCCUUAGGUAUAAUAUAACCGUCGUUGAAAAUUGUCUCUCUGAUUGCAAAUUUGCAACGACGUUAGGUAUAAUAUUUGUAGAUACACAAACGCACACACAUCAUCAACUUCCAAAAAAUUGUCUCUCUGAUUGCAAAUCUGUGUCAUCUGUUAAGAUUAUGAUGUGGAACAAAGUUCCAUUUGGUAAGAUUUCGUAACCCUUGGGAUCUCAGAAAAAUCUGAUUAUGUCGGCGAUUUUCUAUAUAAACCGUCGUGGUUAUUUCAAUUCUUGUCAUUAAGUAGAUCUACCGACGUAGGAUAAGAAAAUCAAAGAAAAAAAUUGUUAACAAAAAUUCUUAUUAAGACGACGGUUUAAAUUAAAGGUAAGACGUAUAAAAUGAAUAAAUACGACGUUAAAUUUUAUAGUACGAUUUAAAGAUAACGUCGUAGAACUAUACCAGAAUGACGUCGAUAUAUUUAUAUUUUUCGUCGUUGUACAUUAAUUUAAUACGGCGAUAUUUUGUAUUUUAAAGUCGUGGAUUUGUUUGUAAUUAUACAGCGUCUUAUACGAAAACCUCGUCGUGUUAUUUUAUGAGUAAAAACGGCGGCUUUUAUUGAAAUCGUCGUCUUUACUUUCUACGUCGGUUGAUUCAUAACUUCUGUCGUUCUUUGUUGGCUUUGAUUUUACACUGCGGAAAUCUGUUUCAAAUAGACGUCGGUUGUUUAAUUAAGUACGUCGUUGUUUUUGAACAGCCAUUUGAAUCUCCAUUUUUUAGUUGUCUAAGGUGGUAUUACACGACGGUGUUUUUAGAACCGUCGUCUUUUUAAAAACCACGACGGUUUUCACUGAGACCGUCGUUGUUUUCUGGUCGUCUUUUUCACUUUUUGUAGUAGUGAAUGGAAUAGAAUGAUGGAAGUUAUUUUUUUUUUUUCCUACGUCUAAAGUAUACUUUAUAUAUAUAUAUAUAUAUUUAUAUUUAUUAUGGAAGUUAUAACCGUUUAAUUUUCAGUUUUUAUUUUCUAUUUAUUGUUUUAAUUUUUAUAGUUUAAUGUGUAUGGAGAUUUCAAGUAUUGGAUGUUUAUAAAGGGUCACUCCUCCUUCACAUCUGAAACAAACCACCAUCUCAUUUCUGUAUUUUCAUACUUUCAUAUAUUUUCUACUUUCCAGAUUAUUAUUUUUGGGCAACGGUUCUGUGACUUGGAGAUUUCUAUCCGAUUAUUAACAUGCUCAUAGCGGACCUUGAGCUUGCGUAUUGAGGAUAGUAUCUUGGAGCCUUGUAGACCUUUAUUACCUGCAUGUAGGGAGGCUAUAAAUGCUUUAAGUCAGCGUCUUUGACGUGCUUUUGCUUUCUUUUUUUUACUUAUUUCUUCGUUACUUUAUUUUUACUUUACUUUUAAAUCUUUAUUUUAUGUAUUAUUUAUAUUUAAAAAUUUUGAAUAAGAGUUUUACAGAAAAGGAAAAACACAAUUUCAAAUAACACAAAUUUCUCGUUUUUUGUUCUUAAAAAAGAAGAAGCAUUGAUUGGGGAGUUAUGGUAAACUCAGUUUCAAUGGUUGCGAUGAGAGGCGGUGGCGGCGAGGAGAGGACGAAGGCUUUGCUGCCGACGGGGUGGUGUGGGUGGGUGGAGACCUCGGCUGGCUGCUUGGUCCUGGGUUCUCCUUUAAUUCUCUGUUUUCUUUUUUCAUAUUUUUCUUUUUCUCUUAGAGUUAUUGAUGUUAAGUGAAUGGACAGAUGCCAAGAGAAGAUGUGAACCCAAUUAUAUACAGCUGAUUACAUAAAGUAACAAAUUAAUUAAUACUUGAGUGGAGGACAGGCUCGAGUGGAAGAAUUGAUUAAGGCUUGAGUGGAAGACAAACUUCAGUGGAGGAAAGUACAGAUAAGGAAAGCAUGCCACGUUUAACGGCUUUAUCUCAACAAAUUAGGAAUGCUGGUUUUGUUUCCUCGGUGGUUGAAAGGUGGUGCCUUGGCUCGGACAUCUCCCUAGUAAUUAAUCGAAGGUGGAAUCUUACAAGACAUUCAGCUGCUCAUUAGCUGAAUAUCUCGCUCUCUUUAAAGAGAUCGAAGCAAACUGCAAUUUGCAAUUUGUGUGAUUCAAGCAUGAAUAUCUGACAUAGUAACUAUACCAUUUGUUGGUUUGAUGAGAAAAGUUUGGUUAGCGAGGAUGAAACCAUAAAGUUCCCCAAAACACACAAAGAGCACGGACAAUUGCUAAGUUUAUCUUUGAGUUCACGCAUAUUUGCACAAAUGAGAUUACUCCAAGUAUGACUAUACCAUUUGUUGGUUUGAUGUGAAAAAUAUGGGCAACGAGGGUAAAACUAUACAAACACACACAAAGAAAGUGGACAAUUACUAAGUUUAUCUUUGCGUUAUUCAUCCGACCUAACUGUAAAAUAAAAAAGAUGAAAAUAUAUAAUGUUCACUACUUAGAUCUAUGAGCACUAAAGUCCUCCUUUUGGAAUUGCACAAAACGUCACUUUUGGUCUUUGACAAAUUUUUAAAAUAAAUGAAUUUUUUACUUAUUUGUGGACUGAAAUGCCUCAAAAAAAAUAAUGAUAAUUUGAAGAAUUUGAUAGAAAUUAAAAAAUAUCCUCAAAUUACUUGGAAUUGAAGACCACAUAGGCAAAAACACCACUUUGGACAAAGGCUGGUGAUAAUAGUCGAUAUCAUCUUUUGUCGGUCCGACCUAAAAAGAAGAAAAAGUUGAAAGCAUCUUGUUACCAUUUUUGCCAAUGUGGGUCCAGACAAUUUGAAGAAGUCCACCGACAAUUUCUCAAAAGCUAUUGUGUGAGUGUUUUGAAGCUAAACCAAUAUUAUUUUGCACAUACGACCCCACAUCCCCAUGUGAGGCUACAGAAGUGUUUCCAAAACGAAACAUGAUAUUUCAAAACAAAGCUAUGUAUAGAAUAGAGUCAUUUGUAUUUGCUUUCACAAUAACAUUUUAUUUGUGAAAGCAUUUUAUAUUUUUACAUUAUGAUGUUCUAACAAAUAAAUUGACUAUAUUUGGCCAACAGGGUUUAACCGAGUAAAAAAGUCCUUAUUUAUAAACUACUGGUUUCAUAUUUGAACUCUAUGACAUUCUCUUUACCCUUAAAGUUUAGACUAUCGCAUGUAUUAUAAAUAAAAAAAAACAAUUGGCUUAAUUUGAUAUAUUUCAUUUUAUGCUGGGUGCCGUUAUUAAGUUUUAUCCUUGUUUCUUGUUGAAAAAAAAUUGAUAAAAAAUAAGAAUUCCUAUAGCUAGCAACUUCUCCACCUUCCCUUCUUCGCAACUAGGGAUGCCAUUGCAAGGUCACCAUCUCAGAUUAAGUCCUCCUUUUAAAAUUGUGUUGUUAUUCAAAAUUGGAAUAUGCUGGUCAUUCUUGAUAUAAUCUGUUCCACAAAAAGAAAAAGAAAAAAGUUGAUAGCAUCUUUUACCACUUUGGCCACUUUUGAAGAUAUUCACCGACAAUUUCUCAAAAGCUAUUAAGCUGUACGUCCACAAUAUUAUUGCAUCCAACUUUGCAUAUACGACCCCAUCCCCAUGUGAGGCUACAAUAUUGUUAAAAAAAUAUGCUAACAUUGUCAUUCAGUAUGCUAACAUUGUCACUAUGUUUGCGAAUUGCAUAUUAUCUAGAACAUAAAGGCUUUGGUGUUUUGUAGAUCCUCAGGGAGCCAAACCCGUCUUUAUAAAAAUGGUCCUUAUGAUACUACUUUAACAACAAUAAAGUAUAAUAAACUAGGCCUUUGUAGUCACUGAACGAAUGUUUUGUCAUAUAUAUGACUAUUUAAAUGUAAUUACGGGAUUAAAACAUUAUAAUAAAUUGGAGUGAACCAUAACAUUAUAUAUGAUCCAAUCCUUUGCAUAUAUUUUUGUUCAAGACUUUGUUUUAGAAUGCUCUAUUACUAAUUUGGUACAGGUCUCUAAAAUCUAUGCCUUUAUGAGGCAACGUCUUUAUUUCUUUGGUUAUUCCAGUUUAGAAUAUUUGCACAAAUGAGAUGACUCCCAGCAUAAAGUCACAUUCAACCAAAAAGCAUGAAGUCACACACAAAAAGAAUACGGACAAUUGCUAAGUUUAUCUUGUAUCCUUAUUUUAUUGAUCCAACCCAAUUGAAAAAUUAAAAAGAUGAUAUAAUAUACUGUUCACUGCUUACAUCCAUGAGUAAAGUCCUCCAUUUGAAAUUGCGUGAUGAUAUAAAAUUGGAAUGAAAAAAGAAAAUCCUACAGCUAAAUUUGAUAUAUUUCCUUUUCAUUUUAUGCUGGGUGUUAAGUUUUCUUAUUUCUUGUUGAAAAGAAAAAUGAAAAGAAAUAAAUAAAUUCCACAGCUAGCCACUUAUCCACCUUCCCUUCUUCCCAUGUAGUGACAACAAGGGAGGCCUUCAAUCCAAAAUAAAGACAAGGGAUGCCAGAUCAGCAUCUCAGAUAAGUAUCCCAACCAAAACCAAUCAAAUAAUGACAUAUGUAUCUCUUUUUGUGUUUUGUUCUAUUUCUCUUUGAAUUAACUGCAUAGUUUCAUAAGCGUGUCCUCCUUUUGAAAUUGUGUAUUAUUCAAAAUUGGAAUUUGCUGAUCAUACUUGAUAUCAGCUAAAAAAGUUUCCAACAUCUUGUACCAUUUUUUUCCAGUGUGGGUCAUAACUUGAAGAAGCCCACCGACAAUUUCUCAAAAGCUAUUACCAUCCAACUUUGAAAAAUAAAAGUUUUCAAAAGUUACCCCAAACAACAGUCCUUGAAAGAGAGAGUUUUCCAAGGCUAAAGAUUACAAGGAUGUUAUUUACAGUCUCGACAACGACAAGCUUCAUAUUUGUUUACAAACCUGUAUUUUCAAGUUGUGCUAGCCUAGCUACUUGCAAAAAAUAUCCAGUUGGCACAUGCAUUAACGUGUGACAAGAAGUUAGUUAUAUUUGUAAAGUAAAAGAACGAAGUACAUAGCAUGUAAGUUGAUGCUAAAUAUUUGAUCAACAGAGUUAAACAUAAAACCACUGACAAUAUAACGUUGUUCACCAAAAAUUGCAUUUCGUUGAGGGUCAGUAGUGUAGGUUUCAAGAUACGAUUUAUUUUGUUAAAGAAUAUUCUGAUAUUCUAACAAUAAAAUUGGCUCAAUUUGAUAUGUUUCUCUCUCUUUUUUUGUUUCUGUUUUCCCUUUCAUUUGAUGCUUUGUUGUGCUAUUGCUAAGUUUAUCUUAGAGACCAGGGAUGCUUAGCAAGUUUCUUCACCUGCCCUUCUUCCCAUGUACUAACUAGGGAUACCAUGUCAGAAUCUUAGAUAAGAAUCCCAUGCUUUGUUGUGCUAUUGCUAAGUUUAUCUUAGAGACCAGGGAUGCUUAGCAAGUUUCUUCACCUGCCCUUCUUCCCAUGUACUAACUAGGGAUACCAUGUCAGAAUCUUAGAUAAGAAUCCCAACCCAAUCAAACUAUGACAUCUGUAAGUAUUCAAAAUUGGAAUUUGCAUUGUGAUAGUUGAGUGGAAGAAUCGAUUAAGGCUUGAGUGGAAGACAAACUUCAGUGGAGGAAAGUAAUUAAUUAGACCAUUAUUUGUUGGUUUGAUGAGAAAAGUUUGCUGGUGAUAGUCCAUAAUCUUUGUCCGACCAGAAAAUAAGAAAAGUUGUCUUGUACCAUUUCUGCCAGUGUGGGUCCCACCCACCCCAUGCGAGUAAUUUGAAGAAGUCCACCGACAAUUUCCCAAAAGCUUUGGCGUCCAACUUUGCCGACCCCAUCCCCAUGUGAGGCCAUAGAAAAGUUUUCAGCCACAAUCAAAUAAGGAACAGUCCUUGAAAAGAGAGGGUUUUCCAAGGCCAAGAUUACAAGUUCAUGUUAUUUACAGUCUCAAAAAGCUUCCAUACUUGUUUACAAACCUGUAUUUUCAAGUUGUGCUAGCCUAGCUAUUUGCAAAUCUUGGAAUAUUUUACUUCAUCCAAAUCCCUUGAAGUCUGCAGAGAAGAUAAAAGACAUGGCUUUGAUUGGAGAGGCUCUUAUCUCUGCUUCCGUCCAGGUGUUGUGCGACAGAAUUACUUCACCCGAGUUCGUUGACUUAUUUCGGCACAAGAAACUCGAUGAGCCACUCCUCAGGAAGCUGAGGACGACACUGUUGGCCUUGAACUUGGUGCUCAAUGAUGCAGAGGAGAAGCAACUUGUGAACCGAGAUGUGAAAAAGUGGCUUGACGAGCUCAAACAUGCUGUCUUUGAUGCGGAGGACUUACUGGAUGAGAUUGACACUGAAGCUUUGAGAUGCAAGCUGGAAGAAGGUGAAGAUCAAACUCACAAAUUUACCAAUAAGGUGCGGAACUUGCUCUUUUCUUCUCGUAGUCAUUUUUAUCAGAGCAUGAAUGAUAAGAUAAAAGAGUUACUAGCAAGGUUAGAAAACUUUGUACAACUGAAAAGUGCUCUUGGUCUGGGAGAAGUUGCUGGGAGGAAGGUUUCGCAAAGAACUCAAACAACCUCCUUGGUUCUUGAACCUUAUGUAUAUGGUAGAGAUGAAGUCAAAGAAAAGUUAUCAAAAGUUUUGCUAUCUGAUGAAGCAGGCAAGGAUCCUGUGUCUUUCCUCACCAUUGUUGGAAUGGGUGGGGUUGGCAAGACAACCCUUGCUCGAAUGCUUUACAAUGACGAUAAGGUGAAAGGGCAUUUUAAACUUAAAGCUUGGGCUUGUGUUUCAGACUACGAUGAUUAUAUUAAAAUUACUAAAACUCUCCUUGAGGCAGUCACUUCAAAGCCUUGUAACACGGCAAAUCUGAAUUUGCUUCAAGAAGAUCUAAGAGAGCAAUUGAAGGGAAGGAAAUUUUUAUUUGUGUUGGAUGACCUAUGGAAUGAGAAUAAUGAGGAUUUGAACUACCUUAGAGCUCUUUUUAUUACUUUAGGAACAAUGGGAAGUAAAGUCAUUGUAACAACACGGAGCAAAAAUGCAGCAUCUGUCAUGCAAAAUGUUCAUAUUCAAUACUUAGAACCAUUGUCGCAGGAGGACUGCUGGUUAUUACUUGCAAAACAUGCAUUUGGAAAUGUAAAGUGUAGUGCACAUUCAAACUUGGAAGAUAUUGGAAACCAAAUUGCACGCAAGUGCAAAGGGUUGCCUUUAGCUGCACAAACACUUGGGAGUUUGUUACGUUGCAAUAUGAAUUUCGAGUACUGGAAUAGAAUACUAAAUGAUAGUUUUUGGGACCACCCCUAUGAUAAAACUAACAUUCUUCCGGCUCUAGGGUUGAGUUACCAUUAUCUUCCUACUCAGUUGAAACGAUGCUUUGCUUAUUGUUCAAUUUUUCCAAAGGAUUAUGAGUUUGAAAAGGAAGAUAUAGUUCAAUUAUGGAUUGCAGAAGGUAUAAUUCCACAAGCUGAGAAUGGAAAUAGGAUGGAAGCAUUGGCUAGAAUAUACUUUGAUGAGCUGUUAUCACGAUCGUUGUUUCAAAAGUCAAGUAAAUUCAGCUUCAUUAUGCAUGAUCUCAUUAAUGACUUGGCUAUGUUCAUGUCUCAGGGGUUUUGCCUUAGGCUCGAAUAUGGGGUAUCCCAUGAAGUUAAAAGAGCUCGUCAUUUGUCAUAUGCUAGGGGAGCAUUUGAUGCUGCUCCAAGAUUUGAACCAUUAUAUGAGGCUAAAUGUUUGCGGACCUUCCUACCUACCUCUUUAAAUCCAUAUAGAUUUUAUGAAAGAUUUUUUGUAAGUAAAAAAGUUCUACAAGAUUUGUUGCCAUCACUAAGAUGUUUACGGGUGUUAUCAUUGUCACGUUAUCAAAAUGUUACUGUGUUACCUGAUUCUAUUGCAAACCUCAUUCACUUGCACUACUUGGAUCUUUCCCAUACCGCAAUUAAAAGGUUACCUGGGGUACUUUGCAAUCUCUUCAACUUGCAGACAUUACUAUUGUCAAAUUGUUCCUCACUCCAUGAAUUGCCUGCAGACAUUAGAAAAUUGAUUAAUUUACAGAAAUUGACAUUGGGCGGUUGUAGUUCUCUUAAUAAAUUGCCUGCAGGCAUGAAGGAGUUGACUAAUUUGCAUCAUCUUGAUGUCAGUGGAACUGAAAUAGUAGAGAUGCCGGUGCAAAUGGGUAGACUGAAAAAUUUGAGAACAUUGACUGCAUUUGUUGUGGGCAAAUCUACUGGGUCAGGCAUAAGAGAACUGAGCGAGUUCCCGCAACUUCAAGGAAAACUAUCAAUUUUGAAGCUACAAAAUGUAGUUGAUGCGAGGGAUGCACUGCACGCCAAUAUGAAGCUCAAGACAGAUCUCAAGGAGUUAGAGUUUUCAUGGGGUGCGCAGGAUGCUGAUGAUUCCCAAAAGGAGAAAGAUGUACUUGACAAGCUCCAGCCUUGCGUGAAUUUGGAGAAAUUAACCAUUGGAUUCUAUGGUGGAACCAAUUUUCCGAAUUGGUUAGGAGACUCGUCUUUUUCUAACAUACAAGUCAUGCAUCUCAGUGACUGUAGUUAUUGUUGGUCGCUCCCACCAGUUGGACGGCUGUCGGCACUCAAAGAGCUCUGUAUAAAAAGAAUGAAGUCUUUGAGGACGAUUGGCGUUGAAUUCUAUGGCAGAGAUGGAGCUUAUCUGACUCAGCCAUUUCGAUCUCUGGAGAAGCUAGAGUUUAUAGAGAUGCCGGAGUGGGAGGAAUGGGUACCAAGUGGAAGUGCAAGUGGUAGUGAAUAUGGUCCAGACUUUCCUCAUCUCCAGGAGCUGAUUCUAAACGAGUGUCCGAAGCUAAGAGGAAGUUUGCCUUGUGAGUUGCCUUGCUUGAAGAAGCUUACGGUGUAUGGGUGUAAGGUUUUACAUGAUGGAAGGGCCGCUACCGCAACUACCAAUAGUCUUAACUAUAAAUCUCUGGAAGAAUUGGAUAUAAGGGGUGGAUGCCAAACUCUGUUAUCAUUAUUAGAGACAAAGCUCCUGUCCCGACUUAAGAUUGAAAAUGUUGACGUACAGUGCUUGCCCAACUGCAAUCGUCUUCAACGUUUGACUCUUUUGAAUUGUCCAACGCUGUCGUCAUUCCCUAAAGAUGGCCUACCCACUACAUUGACAUCACUUACUAUACUCAAUUGUAGGAGAUUAGAAUUCCUACCUCAUGAGAUGUUGGCCAAAUUAACAUCGCUUGACUAUUUGGGCAUACAAAGUAGCUGUGAUUCAAUGAGGUCCUUACCGUUGGGCAUUUUUCCCAAAUUGACGACGCUUCAAAUUCUUGGUUGUGAGAAUCUGGAAUCUUUUUCCUUGAUUGAAGAAGAAGGAGCUGUUGAGAAUCUCAGCCAUCUCAAUUCCUUGCAAGUCAUUAACUGUCCAAAAAUGGUGUGUUUUCACGAGGGAGAAUUGCCCUUUCCCAACCUGAGUCACUUUGUAGUCAUUGACUGCGAGAAUUUGAAGUCAUUGCCCGAACGCCUUCACACCCUCACUGCCCUUCGAUCUUUGAAUAUAUGGAAUCUUCCGAAUCUGGAGUCAUUUGCAGAAGAUGGGGGUUUGCCUCCCAACCUCCGAUCUUUUAUCAUUAGGAAUUGUAAGAGACUGAGGGCACUUGACUCAGUGGGUUUGCAAGCACUUGUCUACCUUCAGAUCGAUGGAAGUGACCAUGUCUUGGAGACGUUGCUGCUCCCUACCACUCUUCACACUCUCUGCAUCUCUGAUCUAUCAACUCUGAAAUCUUUGGACGGAAAGGGUCUUGGACACCUCACUUCUCUUCAAACUCUAAAAAUUUACAGCUGUCCAAGUCUUCAAUGCCUGCCAGAAGAGGGUUUGCCGCCAUCUCUUUCUCAUCUGAGUAUCCGCUGUUGUCCUACCCUGGAGGAAAGGUAUAAGAAUAAAACGGGACAAGAUUGGGCAAAGAUAUCUCACAUUCCUUGCAUCGAGAUAGGGGAAGAAGUGAUCAUAUAAUAUGAGCUAUUCCAUAUUUCACGCUCAACCCUCAACUCUCAAAUCAAAGUCAGGUGAGGUAUGUGCCUUCUCUUACUUUAAAAAACUGCUUCUCUUCUUCUAAUUGAAUACAAAAACCAAAACACAUAUUCUCUUUCUCUUCCAAAAACCCAAAUACAUGUUGGACAUAGCCCAACGCUGUACUUUCAUAGGUACUGCAUGUAUAUUAUCUUAGUAUCAACAGGUGGUCUUAUGUGGACGAGAGAGAACAUUGAGGAAUUACAAAAUCUUCUUAGUGAAUUAAGCUUGCUUCAGCUCUGUUUGUCAUCCCUCUCAUUUUCUUUGUUAAGCCUUGGUUUUUUAUUAGGAGAUGAAUGCUUUUAUAUAUUGAUGUCGUAGUCAGUCUUCAACCACACUCCGUUUUUAGAAUUCGUUUAUGUUACUAGUGGAGUGCUGCUGUAUUUUAUAUUUCGUUCCUGUAAUGUUUGAUGUUUAGUUUGAGUAGUCUAGCUUAUCCAGUAGAUAACUCGUCCCCUGUUUUGUAAUGUUUUUGUUUCCUCUAAUGAAAGCAGGUUUUACUUAUCUUAAACUUUUAUUUUUAUUUUUAAAUAUCAGUAAUAACUGGGAAAGCUUGCAUCUCCUUAAAUUGCUCAUUCUUACAUCUUUUAUAGUUUGUCGAUCUUGGGCAAGUGGAGAGAGAGGCGUCAAGUGAUACACAACAACCAUUUUCUGUGAGCUAAUUUGAUAAUGAUAAAUGGUAUGCUUUCUUGUCUUAAGCUGUGUGUUCUGCAAUUAUUUAAAACAAAGAGUGCCGCGCUUCAAGUUCGAGGAAAACAGGUAUUUUAGGUUAGCUGUAUAAUUCGUGGUAAAUGCCUUUUUCUAAGGUUCAUUUAGACUCCUAUUACGAUUAAUUUGUUGUUUCUAAUUUGGACUUGUAGGAACAGACCAAAUAUGUUCACACGUGGCAUCGCUCAAGUCAUCAUCAUUUCCGACAGAAAAUCAGCCUUCAAGUGUCUGCUGAGUCAAUGAACCUUUCUAGAUAUAUCAAGUGCAAUGGAAAUUCAUGAGUUACAUAGAGAUUUGUAAACAUUUUGAAGAUUGCAACACCUGCAAGUGAGAUAGGUGGUGACGAAAUCAGAGCUGAUCUUGAAGCCUCUGAUGCCCCGGUUGUUGCAAGUUGCACCUGAGAACAUGUUUUUUUGGGGUAAAAAACUGGCAACAUGUUCGGAGCUGGCAAUUCAGUCAGUGAUGAAGUUGAGAAGCAAAGCUCCAGUAAGGAAAUUGGUCGAGGUCGCCACAGGGAU